Molecule: long non-coding RNA, 81768 nt
Filed under: Coffea arabica (coffee)
Lineage: Eukaryota; Viridiplantae; Streptophyta; Magnoliopsida; Gentianales; Rubiaceae
Description: long non-coding RNA (CARA_LNC000411)
Source: RNAcentral
UUUUUUUUUUUUUUUUGUAAAUAUAAACAAGUUUAGAUUAUGUUACAUAAUAUGAUGAAUUCAAAUCUCGUAUCCGUGACAUACAUUCAAAACUGUUAGUGUAAAAAAAAAAUCACCACACCGUCAGCGUAUAAAAAGUUAAUCCUUGUGAAUAGUUAAUAGUCAUCCAUAUUUCAACUAAUAAUUCAAACUAUUAGUACAAUUCAAGGGUGAAAAAAAAACUCUCAUCUCACUAUUUUAACUGUGAAUUUAACUUCAUGGGAUAAUAAUAAUAUUCAAGGAGGAUAGUAGAGAAUCUCUCAAAAAUGAAAUAUAUAUUUUAUUUGUCCGCCAGCGCCAGCCAGAAACUAGGGUAGAACAUUUAUUUAUUUUUUCUUGGGGAUAAAAAAUCCAUUUAUCCUAACUAAACUAGUAGUAGGACUUAAUAGGGAAGACGGUGUAGACGGUGGAGAAUGACAAAUUUAACCUUGGAGAACGGGUUCUUGAUUUCAAAGCGAAUCGGGUUCAUGAAAUAGUAGCAGUAGAAAGGGUGGUGGGUAAGUGUCUGAGACGCUUCCACAGCUUCUAGGCUUUCUCAUUUGGAUUUCCCUCUUCUUUUCUUCUCGUGUUGUUUGUAUUGGAGCUACUACUACUGCUGCUGCUGCUAAGUAUCACCAGUCUCUUUCCCUUGCCUGAGGAGGAGGAAGACGAGGACGCUUCUUCUUUAGGGUGGUCUUUUGAUAUUGUUCGAUUGACCCCUCAAAAAAAAAGAAAGAAAGGAAGAAAGAAAGAUGGUGGGAAUGGGAUGCCGGCGUAUGGAAUUCAGUCAAUGCUGAAGGAAGGGCACAAGCAUCUAUCCGGGUUGGACGAAGCGGUGCUCAAGAACAUCGACGCCUGCAAACAGCUUUCCCAAAUCACCCGCACUUCCUCGGCCCCAACGGUACUCUCUCUCUCUAGCCCUUCUUCUUACUCUUCUCCCUCUCCCCGAUUUUGCAGCAUCAAAUCUAUGUGCUGCUGUCACUCACAUUUGUAACUGUAUGUCUCAGUUGUAAACUAUUGCUCCUGCUUUUAGUUCUAGGGUUUUUUCAAGUCACUUUUGCCCUUUCCUAGUAUUAUUUUUUUUUUCAAAAAAAAGGAGGAUCUUUGCGUUAGGAAUUAUUUACCAAGGAAAUUCUUGUAUAAUGCAUUUGGGAUCUGUGGACGCGUUUCCAAUCUCUCUCUCUCUCUCUUCAGGUAUGAAUAAGAUGGUUUCACCAUCUCGACAAGCUUUUCGUCACCAAGAUGCUGCCACCAUCGUCAACGAGCUCGAGGUUCAGCAUCCUGCGCUAAGAUCUUGGUUCUGGCUGGCAAGGCACAACAAGAGGAAAUUGGUGACGGUGCUAACUUGUGCUCUUUUGCUGGGGAGCUUCUCCAAAAUGCUGAGGAGCUCAUCCGAAUGGGUCUGCACCCCAGUGAGAUCAUCAUUGGUUACGCUAAGGCCAUUAAUAAGGUUUCCAUCAUCCCCUGCAGCCUUUUCGUUUUUAUCUCUUUACUGUUUCCACCACUUCCUCUUUUCUUUUUCUUUUUUCCAAUUGGCUGAGCAAUUUUUUUUUAUUGGUUACCGUUCUGUUUCAGACAAUCCAAGUUUUAGAGGAAUUGGUUGAAGCAGGUUCUGACACCAUGGAUGUCAGAGAUACCAAUCAAGUUAUUUCUCGCAUGAAAGCUGCUGUUGCUAGCAAACAGUUUGGUCUAGAGGAUAUAUUAUGCUGCCUUAUUGCUCAGGUAAAUAUUGCUAACUUUGCUGUUGUUGGUGUCUCAGUUGGGAUUCUUCCCUUGUCCUGAGUUAUGGUGUAUUUGCAACACAGGCAUGCAUCCAAGUUUGCCCAAAGAACCCAGCGAACUUUAAUGUGGACAAUGUCAGAGUCACAAAGCUCUUGGGUGGAGGUCUGCAUGAUAGUAAAAUAGUCCGAGGUAUGGUAUUGAAAAGUGAUGCUGUUGGAAGUAUAAAGAGGAUCGAAAAGGCAAAGGUAGACACUCAUAAGCAUGCAUCUGGUUGUUUGUAUGCUAUUAACUAGUCAACGGCUGUGCUUUGAAACACUUCAGUAUGUUUUCUUGUGCCAAUUCAAAUCAAUGUAGCACAUUAUGAGGCUGAAAGAGUAACAUGCCAUCCUUUUCUCCUCUGUAUCUUGUAUGCUUAUGCAUAAAAGGACAUCAUUUUUUGGUCUGAAUCUUUUUCCAAUUUUUUAAAGAUCUCCCUCAAUAAAGUAGGGUUCUAAUGCCUACUAAUUUUUCAGUCCUGGAAAUAUGCGCUAUUUUUAUUUUUGAAUUCUAUCAUUUGUAUUAACACUUGUUGAUUUAAAAACGGAAGUAGUCUCACGUGCUUAAUGCCUCUUCUAAACGAGUUUAAUCAAAUUCUUCAAAAGAUGUGUCGGCUGUGUUCAUUAUUCGGUCUGGUCUGGGUGGCACCUGUUCUCUAAUCAUCUGUUAAAACUUUUAGAAUUUCUGGUCGUGUUUGUUUUAAAGAGGUUUCAAGUCAUGGCAAAAUUGUUUUAUUCUUUUCCUGAUAAAGUUAGGAAGGAGCGGUACUCUGCUGAUUUACCUUAUGAUUGAUAUUCAUUCUUUAUCAGGAAAUUAAGACUUUGUAAUCAUUCUUGCAGGUUGCUGUUUUUGCUGGAGGUGUUGAUACAUCAGCCACAGAAACAAAAGGAACUGUCUUAAUCCAUAGUGCUGAACAGGUAUUAAGGGGAGCGUCUAGUCCUUUAGAUCCUCAUUCAUAAAGACGUGAACUAGUUUUUCGAAGUCCAAACCUCUUUGCACAUGGUAUUUAUAGUCUCAAGUAAAGCAGUGAAUAAACUUCUUCUAGUGUUCAUCUAUUUUGUUUGCUUUCGUGAAUUCUGGAGCAUCUAGUAACCUGUUCUGUGUUAAUAUCCUCUCAUCUCAGAGUUGGUAAUUUUUAAUCUGUUAAUCUCUUCUGCUUUUGCAGCUCGAAAUUAUGCAAGGACUGAAGAAGCUAAGGUUGAGCAACUCAUCAAAGCAGUUGCAGAAUCUGGUGCGAAGGUUAUUGUUAGUGGAGCAGCUGUUGGAGAGAUGCACUACAUUUUUGUGAGCGUUACAAGUACAACCAUUUUCUCUACCUGUUACUUUAACUUUAAUUUUUGUGCCUUUAUUUCUACAGAGAAAUGAGAAGUCAAGUGCUUUUUCAUUUCUGCUAACCUAGCCUAUUGAAAGAAUGGUUUGUUUCUCCUAAUACAAUGAGAGUCCUAGUUUGCCUUUGUAUCUCUAUGAGGUUGCUGUACAGUAACAGAUAGGUAUGAAUAUCAUAUCCUGAUGGGAAUGAAAGGUAGGGCAACAAAAUAUUGGCACAUUCUGCACUAUAGACUACUGAAAGGUCGUGUGUAUUGGUCACUCGUUUUGACAACUUUCAUCUGCUUGAAUAUCUUGGGAAACUUGUAAGGCGAUUCAUCAGCUUGAAAUGUAGAUUACUCUCCUUUAGCUUUGUGUCAUUUUGCUCCAUUUUGCAUCCCCUUUCUCACCUUGGAUAUAGUGGGAAAAUUUCCUUUAUUUAAGUGUAUUUAUACAUGAGAAGAUAUGUAAAAUCUGCUUGUCCUGAACUUUUUUCCUUAUCUCUUUUGUAUUCAAUUUUUUCUUUUUUGUUGUUUUUUCGGGGGAGGGGGUGUUGGUGGGCGGUAAUUAUAUUGGAGUCUUGGACGAUUUUGCAUUUGCCUUGACUGGAUCUUGAAUUGCUAUCGUUAUGGUUCAUCUUUUCCUAUGCCAUGCAUAUUACUUGUUGUCUGUUUGCCUAACAACCUAUAUAUGUUGAACAACUGAUUACCCAGUACAUAUCCUUUGCAGGCUCAUGGUCCUAAAGAUUAGCUCCAAAUUUGAGCUUCGACGGUUUUGCCGUACCACUGGUGCUGUUGCUCUUGUAAGCAUCUUGCAGUCAGAGAGUAUUAAGUUGUGAAACUUCGUUGUAUUCCUUCUGAUUUUUGUUUUUUUUGGCGAUACAGUUGAAACUUAGUCCGCCAAAUCCAGAUGAUCUUGGAUAUGUUGAUUCCAUUUCAGUGGAGGAAAUUGGUGGUGUUAGAGUAUGAUAAGACUGCCCAUAGUGCUGUUACUCUUCAAUUUGUAGUUGUUUCAACUGCUUGGAUAUGAUUUUUAUGAAUGAUGAUUAGGUUACAAUUGCAAGAAAUGAAGAAGGUGGAAAUUCUGUAUCCACAGUUGUUCUGCGAGGUAGCACUGAUAGUAUAUUAGAUGAUCUUGAGAGAGCGGUCGAUGAUGGAGUUAAUACUUACAAGGUACCCUUUCUGAAUAUAGCAGAUAUAUUUGGAAUGAUGGGUUUUCUUCUGAAUGCCUUUGCAAGUUGUUAACUAUUUGCUUCUUGGUGAUUUGCAAGUUUUUACUUGCAGUUAGGAUCUAAUAGACUUUGCUGUUUCCAUCCAUACCAGGCAAUGUGCAGGGAUAGUCGGAUAGUACCUGGUGCUGCAGCUACUGAGAUUGAAUUAGCCAUAAGACUAAAGGAGUUUUCUCUCAAAGAAACUGGGUAAUGCACUUCCUUACCUUGCACUGAAGAAUGUUUUAUUUUAGGUUAAGGCAGCUGUGCUGAAGUGCAAGCUAUAUACAUGUUCUUCACAAGCUUUAGCAAAUAUUCUAUCCAUUUUGCACAUGUAUUUAUUUAGUUCUUGUUUUGAAAAGUUGAUGUGCAUCUGCUUUGUGGCUUCUUUUUGUCCUACCAGAAGGUAACAUACAUCUUCAACCUUGUCCUACCAAAAGUAACAUACAUCUUCAACCUUGUUUUGCAUAUUCUUUCUGCUAUAUAUGUUUGUUUGAUUAUUUGCAUGGGAUAAGGUAAACUUGAGUAAAUUAUUGGACCUGCCAUUUUUUGCCUUGAUUGCUGACUGAUCUGCUUGAAAGUUAGUGUUCUCCCUGUAUAUGAUUGAACAGUGUGGUUGAAUCUGAGUUAGAGGACCAUUUUAUUCACAUUAACUUAAUGACAAGUGUUGCAAUCUAUUUCUAAAGUGUUUUUGUUGAAUGUUUGUGCGAAUAUGUACUGGUUUCUCAUAUCCAAUGGCAUACUGUUAGUUGUCUAUUGUUGUCUUGAUUUUCUUACCAAUUAGUAAACUGAAGCAUGGGUGCUUUGUUUAGUUGAGGCUUAGAUUUUUCUAUUGCCAUGCAGCUUAGAUCAGUAUGCAAUUUCCAAAUUUGCUGAAAGUUUUGAAAUGGUACCUAAAACCCUGGCUGAGAAUGCUGGGCUUAAUGCUAUGGAGAUUAUAUCAUCGUUGUAUGCCGAACAUGCAUCUGGGAACGCAAGAGUUGGCAUCGAUUUGGAAGAAGGCACGUGCAAAGAUGUCUCCACGAACAGCAUAUGGGACCUAUAUAUCACAAAGUAAGCUUUUUCCUUAUAUUGCUGAAAUCCACAUUCAAAUUUUUUCUAGUGUAGAAGUUUCAACUUUGAAGAUUGAGAGCAAAAUUUUGAAGAAUGAGAGCAAACUGUUGUUUUUAUGUCAGUCCUGGAGUAAGCAUUAAACCCUGCUCGUGAAGGUUGUGCAGAAGAUUGUUUAGCACUUUCUAGUGAUCUCAUUUGUAUAUAUCAUGCAUGUUAAAGGCUACCAACUAACUAAAUCUUGCUUCUGUGGAACAAUGUAAACAAAAGCUCAAUAGGGAUCCUUAGUUCUGUCGACCUUGGUUUUUGGAUCCUCAAAACCUAAUCAAAAGAUCCAAGCAACUCAGCUGUGCAUGAGCUUGUGAACACUCACAUGCUUGCCUGCUUGGGCUUUUUUAACCACCCAUGAAGGAGAUCUUUUUUUGUUUAGUUUCCCUGAGAUUGAUGCAUUCUGGAAUAUUCUUUUGUAACUCAAGCUAUUCUGGAAUAUGGAAUUUAAUGAAGUGUCAGAAGGCUCUUAACUAGGAAUUUGGUUCAAUUGACAGGUUUUUUGCUCUCAAAUUUGCUGCUGAUGCUGUCUGUACUGUCCUGCGUGUAGACCAGGUAAGGCAUUCUUGGCAUCUUUACUUUUCUUCUUCAUAAUGUGGUUAUCAUGAUACUGGUGGUAAAUUACCUAUUUCUGUGGUUUAUGCUGCAUUUAGUCGACCUUUUUGGACGUGAAAGAAUUUCACUUGAUGGUGUGAUAGUUAUACAAGAAUUAAGUAGUUUAUGGAGCGGAUAUGCAGAAGUAGUCUACCAGAUGGCCUGGUGGUUGGUGUGUAGGUGAUGACCGUGGGUUUAGGUAUAGGUUUUUCAGUUCAUCAAGUUAUUCUGUGGGUUGUGUGAUAGUCUUUUGAAUGUGCUGCCUAGAAGUUUCCCUUGUUGAGGCUAAAUAACCAGGUGGAAUAGCCCAAUGCUGUCAAGCAUGAUGGCACUUGUUGGUUUAUAAUGUUGAAACUUUGGUCCUUGGGUGUUGUAUUUACGCGUAUAGGUUCUGGUGGUUGAGAUAUAGAUGACGUUUGCAGACUUCCCAAUGCAGAGAUGUCAAUCUCCCAAGUCAUGGAUCAUGACAGGAUUUCUUGGGCAUGCAAAAAAGCUCAUACUAUAUCCUCUCACUAGUUUCAAAAGAAGGCUUGGGUUAACCACAAUAUUGAAGCAUAGUUGGAGAUUCUUGUAGUAAUUUUGCUCAGUUUGGGACACUAAGGUCCCAUAAAGAGGGUCUAAAAGGUGCUGCUGUUGUAAAUAAUUGUGGAUACCUCUGCUAUAAAUUUGAUCAUAGAUCUUGUCUGACUUUAGUAGGUGCAGUGCAAAUAUUUUCAGUUGCUUUUACUCACAGAGUGAUGGAAAUGGUUCUUCAUGUUUUCGCGUUAAGAAGUUUUCCUCAUCUUUUACAAGAUUUGUGAUUGUGUGUCAUCACCUAUUGGUUUUCCGAUGCAGAUUAUAAUGGCAAAACCAGCUGGUGGUCCAAAAAGAUGCUCCUGCAGGGAUGGAUGAAGAUUGAGUGUUCAAUAUGAAUGUAGCGUCUGAUUUAGAUUUUGCUUGGUAGUGUUCUGGGCCUCUUGUGGGUCAAAGGGUUUUCAUCAGAGAAGGCGGAGAAUAGUUGAAUGUUAGCGUGUUGUUUCCUACUUUCAUACCAAUUACUAGGACGGACGUGGUCGAAGAAAAAUUUUGGGUGUUUUUGACUCUGAUUGUAUAUGCCACUAGAAGUGCAUUUGUGGCUUGGUUCGUGUUUAGCGUUUUCCAUUUUUAGUUAUCAUAUUACAGUGGAAGUACACAAUCCAUGGUGAAUUGGGCGUUUUAUACCUAUUGUGAUGUGAAGAGCCCGGCAUCAAAUUCUACAUUGGAAGCUUUAAUUCUUGUUUAUCGGAGUCAGAUUAUAUCUUCGCUGGAAAUAUUUGGAAAUGUUAAUAAAAAAAGCUUUUCUUCAUGGCCCAACAAGGCAACAACGUCGAGUGCUUGCGAUGGAAAGCAAAAUUAUAUGCUCCUCAUUUUUUCUGUCAAAUGACGUAUGAAGGUUUUGUGAAAUGGGCGUUUGGUUUUGAUUUCUCAGUUUUUUUUUAUUUUAAAAAAAAAAAGAAAAAACAAAUACUAUACGUAUUGGCAAGCAAUAAUCUGCUCUGAGCUCUUUAGCUAGUAGCAAUACGUAUGUGAGUAAAAGAGGUAAAAGCUGGGAGUGUGGGAACCAGAUUACCGUCAAAAGUUUUCUGGGGUGAGAGCCAGGUUAUAGAAGAUUGGCUUGCCAGUGGACGGUGGUGGUUCAAGAAACAAACUGCUUAGUGCUUAGCUUUCAUUCAAUCAUGGCUUCUAUUCUAUCCUUUCCUCUCCCAAAACCAAGCUCAGCUACUGUUAUACCUAAAGCUUCUUCUGUUCCAAUCACGUCGUCUCCUCCUCCUGCAGAGACUCUUGACGCAGAGGUUUGGUCGCAAAGGCAUUAAAUCUUGGAGUCCGCAGGAGAUGUUCCGACGGUUGAGCUGACUGUGAGAAAUGGCAGCUCAGUAAAAGUUCAAAUACCCAGUGGUCAUGUCACUUCUUAUAAGCCUAAAGUUUACUGGAAAGAUGAUGGCUUUGAGGAAGUCCUCUACACUCUUCCAGCAAAUGGGCAAUUCUUUCAGUUCCCCUGCUCCUCCUCCUUCCAGAGGUGGUAUUGGUUUGGCAUUCAAUGACCUUUCGACCCAAAUUCAAAAGGGUCUCUUCUCAAAACUUCUGAAUGGACCGUAAAAGAUGUUGACUCUGAUUCUAUUGAUGCUGUGCAGGUACUUUCUCAUCCUCCUCCAUUAUGACUUGCGAGUAGGAACCAGUCAUUCAUUUUGCUCAUUUCUUUUUGCCAAUAUAGUUUUGCUUGCUCUGCUAAGUGCUAACUGCUUUUCUCUUCUCUUCUUGAGAAGAAAUAUAACUACUGGGUUGCACAGUUGCACCCAUGUAAUGGCAGCUUUUGUUGCUCCAAAAUAAUUUAUAGGGGCCUUUUGACAUGGAUUCACUACAGUACUGAAUUCGUUUUUUCCACCUUGGACAAACUCUGUGUGUGUUUGGCUGCAGGUUGAACUGUGUAGCACCAGUGGAAGUCUGGAAUUAACUUACGUAGUUUCACUCUAUCCCUUGUGCGUGGCAACCGCAGUUAUUGUGAAGAACAAUGGCCGUAAAGCUGUCAACCUGGCUGGCGCCAUUCUUACGCAUUUCAGGAUGAAGGGACGAAGUGGAGCAGGUGUGCGAGGCCUCAAGACCUGCUCUUACUGCACCCUCCCUCCUUUAUCUUCGCACUAUGAGAUUCUAUCUCCAUCUGAAGCUGUUAAAACCGAGGAUCCUGGCUUCUUCUCUUUUGGCUGGGAGGCCGAAAAGAAACCAGGAGAAUGGAGUGUGCAAGGCGUUCCCUUCACAGUACUGAAGCAUAAGCUCAGUAGAGUUUAUGCUGCUCCACCAGCUGAUAGAUUGAAAGAGUUCUACAAUACCACACCUUCAAAAUAUGAGGUACUUGAUCAGGUAAUGCCUCAGCAUUCGACUAGCAUUAUCCGUGUACUUUGGACUAUACAAAGUCAAUGGUGUUGAUGAUAAUUCCUCUUAACUAUCUCCCAUAUUAUCAUUUCUAUAGAUGCAGUUGAAUAUUUAUAACCUGCUUCAUUUUUCUAAUGAAUUCUGUCCCUUGUUGGUUCUUUUCUUUCCAGGGCGAGAGCUCUUCUUUAGGUUUAUACGAAUGGGUUUUGAAGAUAUAUAUUUGUCCAGCCCUGGUUCUGUCUCUCGGAAGUAUGGAAGGAUUACUUUAUAUGUACGGGCCCUGCUUCAAUGCUGGUUCCGAUCGUCAUCAACCCUGGUGAGGAGUGGAGGGGGGCACAAGUCAUCGAGCACGAUAAUUUGUAAAAACCAUCAAUUUAACAGACAGCACCAAUUGAUUUUCGCCCUUGAGUUUGUUCUGAGAUGUGCAGAUAUUGAAAUAUGUACAUUGUAGCAUCAAUCUAUUUCAUGAAUCGUGAUAAUUGAGCAGUUCUUGGAUAACAACUUAGCGGACAAUUCAUAUAUUCUGUAGGAAAUCCAUCAAUCAAGAAUGACAGCAGGAGCAGCUGCAUAUGCAGAUGUGAGACAGAACUUUUCAUCAUUUUUCACCAUUUUUGACGUGGUAGUAAAUGGAUUAAUCAGAACCAACAAUAUGGCAAACAUGCAUCCUCGCAUGUAUUGCAGUUCAGAUUCAACUGGCGUUUGACAAAGCAACCACUCAAGCAAGAGGACGAACAAGAGAAUAAUCUACUGCCUCUGUCAAGAGUGGAACAAUUACGCUCAACCAAAAUAAUCUGAGAUUAAUUGCAAAUUCAGCUUUUUGUAAAAAAUCAUUCUUCCAUCACCACCACCACAAAUUCUUACAUAGGAUGAUAAGUAUACGAAGUAAUCAAGGAGAACUUGUCCUUGGGUGAUCAUUGGUGUUGAGAAGAUCAUGAAUCUGUCACUGAACUGCCCCAGAAACUUAUUGCUGCUGCACAGUAAGCAAGAAAAUCAAAGAGAUAAUAUAACAACUACAACAGCUCAGAUAACAAAAGAUAGAUAGAUCGUCGAGCUUUCUUCAACCAAGCAUCUUAUUCCUCUUUGAUGUAAAUCGAGAAACAUUUGAGACAUCUAAAUUCACAAGAAGUCAUGCCAAUCCGAGUCCUACACCAAACUACAAACCAUUUGAUUUUCUUGUUCUGCCACCAUACCAACUGUUGGUGUCUGUUCCAGAGUUUGAUGGCCUUUAGUUACCUAUGGUAUAAUUUGUGUCAAGAGUCUUUGCAUGUGUAGAUAUAUUAUGAGAAUAUGGAUAUCAGAUUCAAAAAAGUAAAAGAAAAAACCUUAUUUUUGGCCGCCUUCUCAUCUGUCAGUGGAGUUCCCACCUGUUUCCAACUCCUACCUGUGGCAAGAAGUUUUUAUUGUGAGGCAGACCUGACGAACUCUGAUUUCUUUCACUACUCAGAGUAGUAGCAUCUGUGGCAAGAAGUUUUUCCCUUGCAUUGGUUAAAAAGUUCACCAAAAGGUCACAUCUUUACUCAUUUUCAGCAACAAGACGUUGCACUUCCAACAAUAAUGGACUGAGACAGUCAUAACAACGUCUUUCUUCAUUGUCACUGAAAUCAUCAUAAACAGCUUUUACACGCUGGUAACCACGAUUCAUGUCUUUGCGCCAUCAGUCCAAAACAUAACAUGUUGAAACCUUGGUAAAAUUGUUCAUGGUUAGCACAGAGAUUACAUGCCUACAAAGGAUACCCCGAGACUCAAAAAGAUGACAAAAAACAAUUAAUCUGACAUGCAUUUUCAGUAUCAUAAUGUACAUCAAACAUAACUUCUUUCCAAUGUACUCCUUCAUUAUCUAACAUGUUUUCUACAACACCAUAAAUUCAAACUGACCCCUCUUUUUCACAAAGCAGGCAGUGCAAAACAUCAACCCUCUUAAUUCCUCCUGAACCAACUUGAAGAUGGAGUAGUGUAAAUAUUUUGAAAUUGCUUUUCAAUGGGAUGUCCAGAUAUUGUUGGCGUGGUGGAGUUGGAUGAAGCAACAUCCGAAUUUUUCUCUCUGUCUAUCUUAUUCUUCAAAGCAUUAUCUUAGUGUUCAACAAACUGCUUCAAUGUUGUUUUUGACUUGCCAGCCAAAAAGUGUGCCAAUCUUGAUACAAUGAUUUUAACCAAUCAUUCUUCUCCAAUUCAAAAUCUUUAAGCAGCUUCUCCCAAUUCUCUUCAAACUCAUCCCCUUUAAUAGAAUCAUAAACAAUAUUUUCCAAACUCCCCUUUAUUGCUUUAUAAUAAGUAAGACGUCCUAAUAUUUGUGGGAGUUUUCUCGUUAUUUGCCUCAGGCACAAACAAUAAUGGGAAUCUGGAAAUUCCUCAGCAACAGCAGCUUGAAUGGAGCUGUCUUCAUCAAUGAUUAUAGCCUUCGGAGCACGUCUUAGCAUGCUUGUUAACCAAGAUCUGAAUAACCACACAAAAGUUCCGUAUCCUCCCCAGAUACCAAUCCGCAACCUAGCAAUACAGUUUGGCCAUGGUGGUACAUUCCAAUGAAUGAAACCAAAGGCAAAUCACAGCUCUGAGUCAAACAAGUAGUAUCAAAAGAAAUGACAUAACAAAAGGACUCAUACGUUGCUCUACACCUUGCAUCUGCCCAAAAUAUAUUUUUUAUGCGACAUUCUUCAUCCAAAUUAACCGCAUAAAAGAAAUUAGGAUCUCUGACUUGCAUAUGAUGGAAAAAAAUUACUCAAGGCCCAAGCAUCUCCAGGUCUGAGUCUCAAACUUUGAGCUUCUGAAAUGUUUUGGUCAUGUAAAGUGUGAAACUUUAUUCUGUUCUGACAUUAGAAUAGUCCGAGAACUUGUCACGUCUAAUAUGGUGUGAUUUUUCUGGAGUGAAGUCAUGACUGUGGUCAAGGGAGUGACGACGCAAGUACCAUCAUCCAUAAUGGCAACAUUGAUUUUAGCUUUACAGAACAGUCGGUCUUUGUGGAGACUGAGAGCCUUCCAUGGUAAGAAGUUUAGUAGUUGAUUUGGUCUUACCAUUCUUGGAACAUCAGAGUGAAAAAUACUCUGCUUGCCAUCAUCAUCUCCAUUCUUGCAAGAAACUUUGGAAAUCCCAAAUCCAAGACGUUGAGCAUAAGAUCUAUAGAAUUGGCGAACUUGUUGUUCAGAAGAGAAUUCCAUCCCAGCUUCAGGGGUUGGAACUUCAUCCUUAUUUGAUGAGGAGUUAUCCAAAUGUGGUGGGUCAUCUUCAGGAGAAACUUUCUCUACCUCGUAGGUCCGUUGCUUAUCUUCUUGCAUCAUGGUAAUUUUGUCAGUGUCACUGGAAUAGAAACUAUCUACCUUUUCCCAAAUUUUAUUUUUAAGGAGACUCUAAACAAAAAGGAGAGCUUUGAAUCCUGCCAAGCAUUUUAUUUAUUCAAUUUCCAAUUGAAUUGAGUUUUCCUGGAAGGUAAUUCCACAUCUAAAUUACGCAAAUGGGCAGUUCAGGCCAACCUGAAUUAGGCUCCAAAGAAAAAAAAGUAGAUAAACCAUCAUCAGAGAUGAGGCCGUAGCAGGUUUUUUUGGGUAGUUUUCAGUAUAUUACCACUGUAAACGAGGAUGAACUUAAGUCUUGAGUUUGACAAUUUGCAACCGCAACCAACCAAAAGCAGGCAGAAAGAGCACAACAGACAGUUGUAAAAAAAUCUCGUCACUUUAUCCAAACAUGUGUCUGGGGAGUCUAUCCUAAAACUCUUCUUCCCUUUAAUUGGAAUCUCCCUGCAAGCAAUUUAAUCCAGACUAGCAAUAAGAGAUUAUGACACCAUUUCAGCUUGAGGGAAUCAUGACAAGUAGUACCAUCCACUCUGGUUUCCUCUCUCCACACUUCAUCCCUCUUUCCAACACCAGAAAACCAGUACUGUUACCUACCAAGACCGUUCAUCGUCUGCAGUGUCCUCCUCCUCCUUUCGUGUGCAACAUUUCUAGCAGCAAGAAAAGAGAGCCCAGAUUGCCAUCGGUAGCAGCAUCAGUCUGGUGCCCACCUCUAGACGUGGACUGUCUAGAAAAUGAGUAUGGAAGCCAUGGAGUCUCGUUUUCUGGUAUCAGCAGUGGUGAUGAGAGUUGUAUGGUCAAGAUGACCAUGGAAAAUGGAAGUGUAGCUAAGCUGAUGCUUCCCAGCGGGCUCAUCACUUCAUAUAAGCCUUUAAUGUGGCAUGGAGCCACCAUGGAGUUACUGCACACCUCAGUCUCAGAAGGGAAAAAUGGUGAAGCACUUAUUCACGGUGGAGUUUCAUUAGACCUCAAGUUUGAUCUGAACGGGAUUUUAUGGUCUCCAAAGACUUGGACUCUGCGUGGAGUUCAAGGAAGCUCUCUGGAAUUUAUUCAGGUCAGUUUUGUUGUAGUACUUGUUUAUCAACCCUGGAGAAGCUUGUGACACCAUGAUUGACAAUCUCCACACAUUUAUUAAGAUAAACAUGCGCGCUCAAUUAUUAAUUGGAUAUCAGAUUGAAAAGAAGAGGCUGCUGGAAUCCAAUAGUUCCUUUUCAUUCCAUCCUUAACUUUUGAAUUCCCUGUCGUUUCAAACUCAGUACCUUAUUGAUGUCCAGAUGUACUUAUGCAGGUAGAACUGAUAAGCCAAAAUGUAGAAAGCAAUAUUGAAGUUAAACAGAUCAUAACACUCGGAGAAGAUGCUUUAUCGCUCUAAAUUCUAGUCUGCAACUCAAGUGAUACAUCCGUCCAUUUCACGGGUGCAGUUAUAAGUCAUCUGACGGCGAGAGCACUCCAGAAGCAACUUAUGCAAUCGGACUAGAAGGAUCAGAUUUUUUAGCAAGACUCCACUUUUGACAGAUUUUAGUCUUAUUCACCCCAGCUUUGGCAAGAUAGGAUCAAGGAAAGCAAGAGGUCUUAUGGACUUCACGGGAUUCUUUUCCGGCUGGGGUGUGGAUCAAGACAGUGAGAGAAUGAGAAAAGAGACAGAAGAAGGUCUGGAGGAGAAGAAGAGGAUGGUUACAAAAAUUUGGCAGAGGAAAUGAGCAGAAUAUAAACCAGCGCACCUCGCGAUUUCACGUCCUUGACAGGGUAUGGAAUUUAUUAUGGAGAUUUUACGUACGUUCCUGAUUCCUUUAACAUUUUCAGAGCAUUCGCUGCCCAUGUCGUAUAAGAGUCUUUUUCCACUGUUGAUUUAUGUAUGUGCUUCCUAUUGCUCUGUCCAUCAGUCGUCUUUAUGCUCUAAAAUUAUCACUAUUUCUCAUGUGGAUCAAGGGGAGGAGAAACUCAGUCCUGGUAGGGAGAAAUGGGUUCAAUGAACUUUACAUGUUCAGUCCAGGUUCAAGUCAUGAAUGGUAUGGCAAAUACUCUUAUAUAUGUGUAGGACAAGCGGCCCUGCUUCAACCUAUAACCUUGAGCUCCCAAAGUGAAUGGAGAGGCAAGCAGCGUUUAUGUAAUCCAAACCGCUGAGCGAGGCUCUAAAAAGUCUACUAGUCCAGUGUACACAUAAAGGGAUGUCAUCAAACUCUGAACAGAAUUUGUGGAUCAGAAUAGAGAACAUUUAUCUUUACUACUGCAAGGAACUUAGGCCAUCAUGUCAUCGAUAAAAUAAAUCUGAAUCAGUAAUUGCAACAUUAAGCCCAGCAACAGCCCAUACUACACGAAAAGGAAAAAAGAGCAAGGAGCAGAAAAGUCCCUUUUGCAUCCUUUGCAUAUCAUUCAAUGGCAAUAUGUUUCAGUAGCACUAUUACAUAAAACAGGACAUAGUCUUUGGAGAUUGCCAAUCAAAGUACCAAAAUUCUUCAUCUUGUUUACUGCUCUGCUACACAACUAAAGAAGAAACGGCUCAGUAAGUAUUUGUUGUUUAUAAGGCAUAUCAGCCUGAUUACUUUCCAGGGUAUUAACUCAACUAGAACUAUAUUAGCUCUUAUGGCCUGCCACCAAAACAAGUUAGGUGGGGACAAGAUUGUAACCUUCUCCUUGAUCAUCAAUUAACAUGAAGCAUAAAUAGUUGCAAAUAUAACAAAGAGAAUGCCGAGUGUGUUGCGAGUAGGCUUCCAGUAGCCUUUCAGACCAUCAACUCUAGGAAGUUCCAACUUUGGAGAAGGUUUUGUUGUAUCCUCAGCAGGGAUAUCUUGUGUUGAAGACACUGAUUCGGAGCUUCCUCGUAAUGCUUCGGACCCUGUAGGUGACUUCCCAUUCCCAUUAAUCUCAAGGCCCCUCAUUUGAUGAACGCCAUUCUGUUUAUAUUUUGAAGUAGGAGUCAUUUCAUAUUGGCUUGAAGGACUUCUGAAUCUCCUAUUUGGUUUGUCAGAGUCUGAACUUUCCUCAUUUUGAUCCUGAAGGGAGUGAAUUAGCUUUCUUGGUGUUGCAAAGAUCUUUACACUGUCAACAUUGAUGAGAGAGCGAGAACGCUGAUAGAUAUUGCACACGAGAAACAUAUGGGUCAGCAAAAGCAAAAGCAUUUUCAAACAGACUACAAAGCAUGAACAUGUUCACAAAUUAAAGCUUUGGAGUAUUCUAUGCAGCAAAUUCUCUUGUCUCUAAAGGUGAGGUUCAUUAUUCAAUUUAAACAAAUGCAAAUCUGCACUAGGAUCUUAGACUUCUUUAAAAUGCAUCAUCAAAUCAUAUUCCAUGGAGAUGUUUUCUUCUUAUGCCAUUUUCUUGCUAUUGAAUUCAAAAUCCAGCAUGAAAUUGUUGUUCCAGACGUGUGAAUAUUCAAAUGCCUAGUAGGCCUACCUGAGGACUGGGAGUGGCACUUCUUACAACUCUAUUUCUGGAACUAGUUUGGCAAAAUCCAACAAAUCCAUCCGUAUAAUCUCCAGAGAAAUCAGAAAAACCAUCAUGCUCAGAGCUCCCCAUGGCACUUCCGCGUGUUACCUCUGAAAAGAUACCAUCCUUGAGAGAGACGUCUAAAACACCAUUCUCACACCUUGACCACAGUUUCCGAUUCACACUCCUUCGAUCAUAAGCAAAGUCUGGAGAGGUCUGAUUCGUUGAAAUUGGGGAGUCAAAGAAGGAAUCGUGCCCACAAAAUGAAUUGACAGUCUGUGAUUCAGGUGAAGCUGUCAGAGGUGAUUGAUCCCCAGAAUCCGACAAAUUUCUUCUUCUUAAAUUUCCUCUCCUGUCAAAAUUUGAGCCAGUGACUGAAACCAUAUCUUUCUCAAAUUUUGAGCUUUUCUCAGUACAUAUCUUUCGAGCAGUUUGCAAUGCUUCAAAAGCAGCCCCACUUACGUAAGCCAUCUGAUCAGACUGACAGUUCUCCAUCACCUUAAUUAUUAAUUCCAACUCAGAAGAGAUGCUUUUGAUCCAAACACUUCAUCAAAGAGUUCACCAUAUGAAUGGCGGACAAUCUUUUUUGGGAAUUGGCAUCUUCAUUCAGAAUCUGCAAUCCAGUGCGGAUCAACAACCUUGCAUACGCCUCGACAGUCAAACUGUUGUGCUUAGCCAAAGACAUCACAAGUGCCAUGUGCGAAUUAGUUUGCAAGUGCUUGUCCAAAGCUCCAGCAACUCUCUGACACACCUCAUUCACCAUCCCGUUUGAAGCAAACCUCCAGUUAUCGCACUCUACUAGAGCCUUCAGACAAAGAGCAGCUCCAGAAGAUAGGCUCUCAUGACUGCCCAAAAGACAAUCGGAGAGAGGCUUACAGAGAGAAUGAAUGAUGUGUCUCUUCUUGUCCUCGGGAGUAGUUGGGUCCAUUCCAUAUCUGGCAAUUGCCGGAACCACCUUAGAGCAAGCUUGGUGAAGAGCAAAAGAUCCUGCACUUGACGUCAAAGUCUUGAUAAUAGUGGUCAUGAUGUUGUCAAUUUGAGGGACAAUUUUAUGUCCAUGAACACGAGCAAGAACCUCGUAUAGUGAGAUCGUAUACUCUCCAGAAGAACCAGUUUCUUUGGUCUCGGAAACCUGUGCGAGAAAGAGAGGGAUAGCUUUGGAAUCCAAAUCUUUGACAUAGGAUUUCAAGGCUUUCAUAGCAGAUUUUCGACUGUCAGCAUCCUUGUCAAGAUUUUCCAACUCCCUUCUGACCAUGGGACUAAGACUUCUUAUUCCCAUAGGGAGACCACCUAUAUGUCCCUGAGGAACGAACUCGGUCAGUAAAGAGGUUAAGUGGAAUUUAUCGCGUCAAUUUUUUCUUUAAACUCAAAAAAAAAAAAAAAGAAUUGGUCGUUGUACAAUGAUAUCAAACUUGUGAAAUGAGAAUGACAGAAGUUGGCACACGAUAUGUAACACAAGCAUAGAUCUUGAAAAGGUGAAAACAAGUUAGCUUUGUGGCAGUAAAAUCAAAGGAAAAAAAAUCUUUUUCAUGGGCAUGUCAGAUUUCAAACUUGUAGAAUCAAGAAGCUAGCAGCAUACACAAAUGUCAACCACACAAGAUGUUGAUAUAAAGGAUGCUUCUAGUUUCUUUACUAGGUCACAAAAAAAAACUCAUGCCUUUGGGCGUAAAAACUGCAGAGAAAAUGAAAAGCUACAGCCUUUUAAUUUUUAAAUUUUUUUUUUACAGGAUGGUGAAAAGGGUUGUUGAUAAUAUGGAUAAAUAUGACGUUGUGAAUUCCAAUCAAGAAAAGAGGAAGUGUGGCGACUAAAAUUGGGUGAUGGACUCGACAAGAACCCUCUCCCUGCCCUGCGGUGGAUAAACAUUUGAGGCGUACUUGUAAGAGAAUAAAAAGGAAAGAACUGAAUUGGCAUAAACAAAGACACCCUCCCAAGGGCCAAGAUAGAUAGAUAGACAGAGAGAUGAAGAUCAUGGAAUAGUAGUAGUUAAAUGAAGAAGGCGGUACCUUAUCUGUUAAUAUAGACGAGAGUCCCUCCCUAGUCCCGCCCUAGUGUCGAGUAUUAUGCUGCUUCUUGCUGGGAUUCUUGUGCCAAGAUCUGGGCUUUACGGAAUCUUUUUCUUGCCGUGAUGUUGCAGCAGUAGGUUGUUUAGACUUUUACAUUGCUAAAUGGCAAUGCAUCCCGCCGCCGCCGCCGCAACCCUCAAAGCAAAAGUAAAAUGUGGUUGCCGAAUCAAGCAAGGGGAGGAAGCAGAGAAGAUGUAUUUAUUUAUGUGGGGGAAUUGAAGUGAAGGGGGGCCGGAGAGCUGUGUAAGUAAGUGUGUUGUUUCCUGGCGGGCGCUACUGAGACAGUAUGCGAAGGGGCUUUCCGAUGGUUGUCUGAUUCUGAUAUGAUACCAUAAAAUCUUCUCUCUCUCUCUCUCUCUCUCUCUCUGCCUUUUUUGACAAAAAAUUACAUAAACGCAUAUCAGAAUACUAAUAGUCAGUCAGUCAGCUGGAGCUCGGAUCCAUUUGGGCGGUGUCGGAGUCUAAUUCAUCUUCUUUUGAAUCUUUUUCUUGAAUUCCCCCGCUAUCCUUCCCCAGUCCCCCCGCCCGCCCCUCCUUUUCAAUUCCUUCCUGCUUACUACUCACCCUUCUUUUCACAUUUCAUUUUCCGGUUCCAACCUUUCCUUCCAUUUUUUUUUGGUUUAAAACCCACAGUUCCACGCAACUAAUCGCUGUCACUAGUCCCCCUUUCAUAACUCACAGUUUUUUGUAUGAGUGUUUCGAUAAAUGGACCCUGCGAAGACACUUCAAAAGCCGGCAACUUUUGAAGUGCUCCGCAGCACUUAACUACUAAACCCCCCAAACCCCCCAAGCGAUGUGGGAACUUAACCCCACAGGGUGCCCUGCUGCUAAGAAGUAAAGACCCCCCAGACUCCCCGAGACAGGUUUUUCCCUUUCAUAACUCACAGUUUUUUGUAUGAGUGUUUCGAUAAAUGGACCCUGCGAAGACACUUCAAAAGCCGGCAACUUUUGAAGUGCUCCGCAGCACUUAACUACUAAACCCCCCAAACCCCCCAAGCGAUGUGGGAACUUAACCCCACAGGGAAUCGCUGUCACUAGUCAACAGUGCGUACAACUGUAAACGAAUCAAAUCGAAUCGAGUAUCUCAUGUUUGAGCUCUGUUCGUUAAGUGAUUCGAACAACGUUCGUGUUCGUUUGUUAAUUUUCGAACUCCAAAUUUGUGUUCGUGUUCGGCUCGUUAAGCAAAGUUUCGUGUUCGAAUUCGAGUUCGUGUUCGGUUCGAAAUGCUCGAAUCCAAAUUAUUUUAAGCCUUAAAUAUGCCAUGCAAAUUAUUACUCAUUCUAAAAAAUAAUUAAAGUAUUAAGUGACUAAAUUCUAUUAUUCAUUAACUAUAUAACUAAGGUUGUGUUUGGAUUGCAUUUUCCGUCAUUUUUCAUGGAAAAAUUACUGUAGCGAUUUGAUAUAUGUGAGGGAAAAAGGUGAUAGGGAAAUGUGAUCACGGAAAACGAUAAUAUUUUCCGACGAAAACCUUCAAUCCAAGCAAGGCCUAACAUUAACAUAAAAACAACAAAUAAAAAAACAAUUUGCCCUCCAAGUAUAAAAGUUCAGUCAUAAAAUUAACCUUAAAUUUUGUCAAAUGAUAAUUAUGUUCAUGUUCGCGAACGUUCGUUAAAACUUGCGAACAUACUCGUGUUCGCGAACGUUCGUUUAACAUGUUCACGAACGUUCGUUAAAACUUGCGAACAUGCUCAUGUUCACUCGAUUAUUAAUCGAACAAAAAAAUUCGUUUGAACUCAAUCCGUUUAAAGUUUCGAACGAGUCUUUUACGAACACGAACGAGUCGAAACGAAAUGAGCUACCGAACAACUCGGUUCGUUUAACAGCUCUAGCAGUGCGUAUUGCUGCUGCUGUUUUACCAAAUAUGUUACGAUUGUUUGCUUAAUUAUUCUAUUAGCUUUUCCUCUUAAUGUUGUAAAUUUUUUUUAAAGGAAACAUAUCCGUUUGGUUUAGGAUGCAAAGAAAAAGGGUGAAAAAAAGGAAAGGAGGUGGUAGAUGAUACUGCUAGAGGGCCCCUCGGGGUGCAGCUCACCUGGUCGUGUCGUCUGUCUUUACAGCAUCGAUCACAGUUCGAUUCUCCCUGAAUUAAUGCGCUGGGGUGAUUCCAAGAUACUCCUGUGUCGACAAAAAAAAAAAAUACUACUAAAGUAAAAAAAUAGGACAGAGAGCAAAUUUUACUUCAUGGGACAACUUUGUCCUUCCUUACAUUAAUAAUCAUUACUUCAAUUAAUUCGUUCAAGCCCCGUAACAAACCUCUUUUUUUUCCUGUUCUCAACUCCAACAAAUUUUCGGUCCUUGAUCAUUAUGAUCGCCGUAACACUAAAGCUGCCGUCGAUCACUGCCACAACCAUUGACCUCCUGCCCAAUUUCAUCUAAAAAAUUCAACAAAAGCUUAUUAGUCUUCCCUAAUUGAAAUGGACAAACUUCCCUUUGACACUUUCUUCCAACCAAAUUUCAUCUCUCAGCAUAUGUCCUCAUUUUUCUAUUCCAAUCAACCAUUCAUAAGUUUAAAGGCGAGAUAUGUGACACAUGUUAAUCCAAAUAAUAUGCAAGUUCAACCAAUAAAAGGGUGACCAUUAACUACUCUUGGGAAACAAAACAAAAAAAAACAAAUGCCUUGCAUAAUCCAUUUGUUGGUUCUUUCUUCACGAUCAUUGAUUUCAAUUCUAGAAGAUGAGAAAGAAAAAAAAAAAAAAGUGAUUCGCAGAGUAUUGGAGUGUUUGGAUAGCAUUACUAUUAUCUCAAAUAAUAUUUCGUUUCCCAAUCAGACUAGCAUUCAUUUGAUUGUAAGGUGAGGCAUUUGAAAUUAACUGCUGAUGUAUUAGUAUUAAAUUGUUCUUUCCCUUUCUCCCUUCUCCUUUGCCUCUUUAAUUCUACUCCAACAUGAUCAUUUUACGAGAAAUCCUCUGUGGCCUGCACAUCCAUCCGUCCCACUGUAACUGUUGGUUGAAUUAUGGUAAUUUUUUGAUUGACAAGAAAUUUCAUCGAGUAGGUGUACGUAUACGAUCCUAGAGUGGAGGAUUCAAUUUAUUCAGUCUAAUUAAUGAACAUUUGGCUACAGGGUUUUACAUUUCAAUCCACGGACUACCGAAUUUGCAAGAAUUACAACGCUUCAAUACGUUGACAAUAAUUGACUUCUGGCUGCCAGUUUUGAAUAAUAAUAAUGAUGACAAAAUACUCUUAUCGAUUAAUUUGUCAUGGCUAUUGAUGGAUGUCUUAAAAUGAAUAGAAGUUGAUAUUUGGCAAAUAAAAAAUGAUUUAGACCGUAAUGAAUAGGGGUGUGCAAAAUCGAAAAAUUUCGAUUUAUCGACCGAAUUCGAAAUUUUUGAAAUCAGUAAUUCGGAAUUCGGCACUGAAAUCGGAAUUUCCGAUUUCGAAAUCAGAAAUCGAAUUCGGAAUUUUCGAUUUCAAUUUCGUUUUAUAAUAUAUAUAUUAAUAUUUAUUUAUUUAUAUAUAUAAUAUUUUUUAUUUCAAUUUCGUUUUAUAAUAUGUAUAUUAAUAUAUAUUAUAUAUAUAAGAAUAUUUUUUAUAAUAUAUGCAAUAUAAAAUUUAUAUUAUAUAACAAUACAUCUAACAAAAAAGAAAAAAAGGGGAAAAAGGUUUCCGAAUUCCGAAUUGAAUUCGGAAUCGAAAUCGAAAUCGGAACUGGUGAAUUCGAAAUCGAAAUCAGUUGGUAAUUCUUAUGCCAAAAUUCCGAAAAAUUCCGAAUUCAAACUUCCGAAUUAUCGAAUUCGAAUUCGAUGCACACCCCUAGUAAUGAAAGAAAGGUACUUGUUUGGAUUGCAUUUUUUUAAAUUUUUUGUAAAAAAAAUUAUUGUAACGAUUUGAUAUACGUGAGAUAAAAAGAUAAUUAAAAAAUGUAUUCACAGAAAAUUGCUAUCCAAACAAGAUUUCCCGCCUUUACAUGAUUCCUGAUAUAUGCUCGUUGGCGCCUGUUCUCGUUAAAUGAUGCCCAAAGCCAAAGGAACGAUAUCCUCUUUGGAACUACAGAGUCUGGCAGAGGCAGAGACAGCGACGUCAGUAGCACAGGGCAUUGGGGCUCCCAACUCAUUCUCAUCCUAUCGUCAAAAGUUCUAUAGACUAACGGUAACAAAAGAAACUCAAGACGGGGACCCUUCUCCCUGUCCCUGACCUUUGGACCAACAAUUAUAUACUCUAACAAUUCGAUUCCAGUGAUUCAUUUCCAAGCCAAAAACCCAAAAGAGAAACUGUACGAAGUAAAGGAAGCCUCGUCAAAAAGCAGCUUCAACCUGCAAUAUAUCACACCAUUUCCUUCCAUAAACCAACAAGAAUCUAUCAAACUACACUUUUUAUGAAGUCGUAGAAUCAGUACAGUCUUUACUUCUUCCAGUCCUUCAUUCCUAAGUCUAAGAAUGGAGGAGUAGUUUCUUUGUUCUUGGCGGAAACUACUGUUGCACCAUUGACCUGCAGCUCCUCAACCCCAUUUACAGUUUUACAGCCGCCAAUAAACAUACAUCCACCCCUCCUCCACCCUCCAUACAUAACAUUACUUCAUUUUGCUGACAUUCAUGAUUAAACUUAACAAACGUAAUCAAUAGAACCUCAACCAUUUAACUUCAAACGAUGCCUCCAAGAAUAAAUGAAUGAUUCGCAUCAUACCAAAGGGAAAAAAUAUUUGAUAUGAAUGAUUGAGCUGUACAGUUGUAAGCAAGACCAGUUUAGAGCUAAUUGUAUCUUACCUCACGGUUAUCAUUCAACCACUCAUUCUUAGCCAUACCAUGGAGAAGAAUCCCAAGUUUCUGCUGAAGCACAUUCAUUCAUUCUGGAUGUCGGAGCUAUCGCUUGAGAUUCACUAGUCCCAAAACUAAAGGAAUGAAAUGCAACAAUCUCAGGAGUCACAAAUCGACACAAGUUACGGAACAAGAAGUCAUGCAUCCAUAAUUUGGGCUAACUAAACGUGCUGCGCCUCCCCGUACAUUCCCUCUUACUCCACUACACGUCUCAGAUUCAACUAAAUCCCCAGUUUUACUACAUGGGCAUGCAUUGUGAAGUCCUACACCAGUUGGAAAUUGUGCUAUGGCUUCUAAUCUACAGCUUCUUCAUCUGGAAGGGAAAAAAAAAGGGAAAGACACUGAUUUCACAAGUUACCAGAAAUAUUCAUACAUUCCGUAUGAAACUUGACAUAAAAUGAUAAAAUUUCUAAUCGACCAUUUUGUUUCAUUGAACAGCCAGAACCCGACAGCAGGCAGAGCAAACUUUGCUUCAUUUGGACUGACAGGUUAAUUAAAAUCAGCAUCAAAAGCAAAACCCGUUCCAAACUCUUCAUUUCAAUGUCUGUCACACUCCUGGUCCCAAUCCCCUUCCCGGUAAUCAACCUUCUUUCAUUGAGGCAUUUCGUAAAGUUUUUUUUUGCACUUGUCAUUCUCUAAGAACUAAGUUAUGAAGGAGAGAAGCACUGGCUCAUCUAUUCCCAAUCAUCCUGCUGGUAAAUCAUCGCAAGGAAAGAAAAAAUGUAAAGGUAAUAAACUGAGCUACUUUGAAAGAUUAAACAGAGUAUGAGUUCGAAUAUUCCUAGAUAUGUCAGCUUCAAGUGGAAGAAAUUAUCUAUAGCCACCGGAGUUAAUUCAUGAAUCUUGGAAUUAAUAUAAAUACAUUCUGGAAUUAAUUCAUGAAUUUUGUGCCAAUAGUUCAAAGUUUCUUCAGAUUAUAUUGGAACGGGAAAAUAUACGAAGCUUAAGCUGCACAAAUGACAAAACACACAGACCUUCUGCAAAAUGGUUGACUUUAGACUCUAAACAAGACACUUACUAUGGCUACCUAUCAAGCACAGGCUGGCACGAACAACCAGAACGUACCAGCAAUUUGCAUUUCAGAAAAUAAAGCGAAUGCUACAGAAAAAUACACAUUUUCUCAUAGAACUCUAUACUACCAGAAAUUGAAAGGCAUACUCAUUCUUACACCAACAGAAGUAUGGUGGAGAAGGAAACAUGAAAACAAAUAGCAUUGCAUCAUCAUAAAAGGAAACAAACGGGAACUCAACAGCUACACGUUCAUAAACCUUUAUAACCAACAAAACAGGAGUAACCUCCAGUGGAGAAUGCAUUUUGUUGCACUAAUAAAUUAACUCUAGGUGUUGCCAUAUCUGUCCGGCUUAUUUUGCUCUUUAGCAUAAAUAAAGUUAAUCAUACAUUUUUAUUUGGAGUAUGAAAUGUAACAUAAAAAUGCAGAUGGCUCAAGUAGCAGCAAGAAUCACAAAGUAGCAAGGACUAGCCAAAGUUUUCUUCACUCAGCAUACACAUUGAAAGCCUUGCAUGCUUAAAUGGACAUGUAUAAAAGAAGAAUAGAUAGCUUUUUUUGCCCCUUUCUGUAGAAUACGGCAUAACCGUCAAAAGACACAAUUGCAUUAAUCAUCAUGGCUAACAAUCAGUGCGGGUACUAGGAGAAAAAAGAUACUACAUCGUCGCCAAUCUUGCGAGGUUGUAAAUUCCAAAGAAAAGAGACUACACCAAAUAUACACUCCAGCAGUUGCAUUAAUGAAAAGGAGACAUGAAGAUGAAGUGAGGAUUUACUAAUGCCGAUAGAAGUAGUCCAUUUGAUUUAUUAUUGUGCAUCGAGGUGGUUCAGAGAGAAGAGAGAUGGUGGAUGGGUGAAGACUUAGACGUAGCCACCAUUGACGCGAAUGAUCUGACCAUUAACCCACCCCCGCAUCAGUAGCCAGGAAUCCCACCAGCGGAGCCACGUCCUCUGUUUCGCCCAGUCUACCGAGCGGGCUCUCGUCCACAACCCUCUUGAUCAUCUCUUCUGUCAUCCCAGCAAAGAACAUGUCCGUGGCGAUAGGCCCGGGGCCACGCAGUUGGCGGUUAUACCGGUCCCCUUGAGCUCCUUGGCCAGUAUCUUGACCAUGGACUCCACGGCGGCUUUGGACCCCACGUAGGCAGCGAAGCCAGGCCUCAAGUCGGCCACCAAGGAGGUGGUCAAGCAGAUGAUCCUCCCUCCGCCGCCGCGCUUGAUCCUGUUGGCAGCCUCCCUGCAGCACAAGAAGGCCCCCUGGCGUUAACGUUGAAGAUGUUGUCGAAGUCUUCCAGGGCGGUGUUGGCCAGGGUUGGGUACUUGGAGUCGAGUACACCAGCGGAAUUGACGAGGAUAUGAACAGGGGAGGAGUUGAAGGCGGACUCGGCGGAGUCGAAGAGGGACUUGACCUGGGCUGGGUCGGAAAUAUCGGCUCUGACGGUGAUGGCGCGGGAAGCAGAAGCAGAAUUGAUUUGGGAGGCAACGAGGUCGGCUUGAGCUGGGUUGGAGGAGUAGUUGAUCACGAGGUUGGCUCCGAGAGAGGCAAGAUGGAGGGCUAUGGCCCGCCCAAUUCCCCUGGAGCCGCCGGUGACGAUGGCUACUCGGUCUUUGAGAGGGAGGGGGAUGGAAUCAGCCAUGCUGCCGCCUGAUCCUGACUCCUGCUAACUGCUAAGUUGAAGUAGCGAAAAUGGAUUGGAUGUCUUUGGUUUGAUUUGGGAUUAUUUAUAGCUACGGACAUUGCCUUAGUUAUACUGAUACAUGCCAUGCGGGAAUUUUUUUUUUUUUUAAAACAAACGACAUUUUGUGGUUUUUGGGUUGGGGGGGUUGGUUGUUGGUUUAAGGGACCGCUGCACAUUGAUUAGAAUCUGACAUUUGCAUCAUAAUCCACACAAAUGGCGGCUCUCACCAUUCUUACGAAUAAUCUGGCCAAUGACCCACCCCAGCACCAGCAGCCAAGAAGCUACAGGGUUUCUUCACCAUUCCUCUGGUUACCCUAGAAUGGAAGUCCACGCAUAAGGAGGCCCCGGUAGGCAAUUAUCCUGGAUCCUAUGAGCUCCUUGACCAGUAGCUUCACCAUGGACUUUAGGGCUGUCCUCAGAGCCAGCAAAUGUCCUAAGCUGGGAGCCAAUUAAGCUACAGCCAUGGAUGGGGAUAAGCAUAUGAUGAUUCCUCAUCUGUGCCUUAUCCUGUUGGCAGCCUCCCUGAAUCAUGAGAAGCCAACCCCUGCAUUGACGCUGAACCUGCUUUCAAACUCUUUGAUGGUGGUGUUUGCCAAUAAGGGAAACUUGGGGAUGAAGAGCUGACAAGUGGAUGAAACUAUGAAGCAGGGAGCUUGAGCAGAGUGAUGUACUUGAUGACAAGCUCGGCCCCAAGUGAGCCUAGAUUGAGGGCAAUGGCCAGCCCUAUUUCAAGAGAGCUUCCAGUUUACGAUGUCUAACCAGUCUUACAGAGGAAGGAUGGUGGCUUGCAUGCUUCCUGUCUGAUUGGUGGUUUGUGGUAAUAUUGGUUUGAACAGUAAUCCUAAGGAUUCGAGCAGAGAAGAAACUGACAGCUGGUUAUAUUCUUCCCAAGAUUUGGUAGAAAUACCAAAAAAUAGACUCGGGAAGCUUUUGUCUUCUUGUUUGGCAUGUAAAUAUGUUACUUCCAUCCCAGCCGAUCAAUGAUAUGUAGCACUAUUAAUCUUGGAUCCAAUAAACUCAUAUUGGACGGAUAUUGAUUUAUUGAACACCUCCUUCAGUUGAUUAAUAUUGAAAUUAAUUUGCUCUGCAGAAUCAGACAGAGUUCUCAUCCCAUGUCUACUGCAUCUGCCACCAGGAAAAUACAAAAGAAAUAUAAAUUUUCCAACCUUACCACAUUGAUCAGCAUAUGCCAAAAUAUAGCACUGUGAAAAUUUUAUGUUAGAUAGGAUUUUUGGAGUCCAGAUUCUAUGACAAUUUUCAAUUCAAUACAGCACUAUUAAUUAUAAUACAUGAAGUCGAUUAGGAUAUGCUUGUACUCACAAGGUUUUUUGUCCCCCUUCUUUUGGGGUAAUCAAUAAGCUAGUGUAUUUGAUAUAUUGACCAGUCAGAAAUGGGCUUCUAUUGUUCAUAUGACCUCCAAAAUUCAGUGUUUGUUUCUUCAAUGCAAGUACAAUUAUGUGAGAUACUGAGGACUACAAAAAAAUACCUUGGCUAUUUUGUUCCCUUAAUUACUAAGUCUUGAAUUGUAUUGAAUCAACAAUCGAAUAGAGAGGAGAAGAUAUCAGAACACUGUUUCUCCCCUCCAAUUAUAAACAUCUAUCUUGCAUUAUUAUCUACAAGUGAGAAUCUCACCUAAAAACUUGAUUCCAGUUUGGCUUGUCCAUAUCUCCACGAAAGGACGCAUAAAGACCAGGGUCCUCCUGAAAAAGAACAACACCAAAUCAACAUCGACAUUUUCAUAAUGCCUCAGUACUCAAAACAACUUGGCAAGCACCUGAUCAUGCAGAAACCAAAGUGGAUUGAGUUAUGAGUGUGACAAGACUUGACCAAGGGCUUUACCUUUGAAAAGAGAUACAUAAAAGACAUCAUCACGUGUAAGAAAGGACAAUUGAAACUUAAUGCUUGUGGCGUUCAUCAGACUACGAUUUCGUUAAAUUAAAGACACGCAAAUAGCACAAUUAUCAUUUAGCCAACUAACCACGAAAAGUAGUUCUUUGUAAGUGCUAAGAAGUUCAAAACCAAAACCCAACACACACUAGAAUUGACUGACACUACUGGUAUUCCAAGAGAAAGCUGUAAAACUAGAUAAUGCAAAUUUGCCAUGAUCAAAAAGAGAUAGGUUUAGGUAAAAUAAAGGCCUAAAAUAAAUGCUGUUAAACUUUAUCUGUAUAAUGGCUAAGCAGUACAAGUCUUAAAACAGUUUCAAUCUGAAAAGCAAAAAUAGAGAUGGUUGAGGGCAGAAAGAAAAUGGAGCCCCUCUGCUGUCUCCUAAUUCUACAUGAAAGGGACAAUGCAGUAGUGUACGGUCUCAACAUACUUCAAUAUGCCACAAUGUGACAACAGAAGUGGUUGUUCUUCUGUGCAGUGCAACCCAUUCAAGUCAAUAUAGAAAAAACACCAAACUGAAUGCAAGGUUGACAGGGUGUUAGUACUUGUACCAUUAUCAAUCAGACAGCAAACUGCAACGAGAUAAACCAGGAAAAGUGAAAGAACUAACCUAGUUAAUUACAAGAAAAAGGUUUUGGGAGCAAAAAUUUCCCAAUCUCCUACUUUUGGUUCUUGAGCUGGAAGCAUGAUGAUCCCACUUGUGUUCACAACUUUCUAAUAUAUCAAGCUACCAGUAAUCUUUGCAUGAACAAAACCAUCCUUAAAAUGAUGGAACCGGUAUGUAUCCCUUACAACAAUAGUCCGAUUUUCUACCUUUGAAACAUACUUAAUCCAAUUAUGGCAAUCAUUACAGACCCGAAGGUUUUUCAUCACUCGUAAUGGAAUUGAAUCAGACAAGCUCAGCAGUCCAAAGGCAAUAGCCAACUUUUCGCUGUGGAUCAAUGCAGUUGGGUCUUUUUGACCAAGCUCCAGUCAUUCCAAAUGCUAUAUCGGUCCUGUAUGUAACCCAUUGCAGCAACCCUAACAUUUAAAUCCUCAAGAAACGCGUAGAUCUGAUCUGCAAGAGGAUGGAGCUGAUCACCGACGAAAAAGGCAUGGAACGAGUUUUUAACUUCAAUCCAGCUACGACCAGGCUCUUUCUUUACACCUCUGUCUUUCAUCAGCUUCCUUGCAUGAUUGCGAUAAACCCAUUUCCCGGAAACCGCAUACAUAUUGGAUAGAAGAACGUAGGUAGCAGAGUCAUUUGGCUCUAAUCUCAAAAGAUGUUUAGCCGCCAAUUCUCCAAUUUCCAUGUUCUUGUGAACUGUGCAAGCACUUAAGAGUGUUCUCCAGACCAUUGCAUCUGGUUCAAUUGGCAUAGUCUCCACAAAUUCUAUUGCACGGGACAAAUGACCUGCCCGUCCUAAAAUAUCUACAAUACAAGCAUAAUGUUCUGAUUUUGGCACCAGAUCAUGUUUUUCUCUCAUGGACUUGAAAUAGCUGAGCCCCUCAUCCACCAAACCCACAUGGCUACAGGCUGAUAAAACUCCGAUAAAAGUAACGUUAUUUGGCCUCACAUCCAGUUGUUUCAUUUCCUCAAACUGUUCAAUUGCUUCGGCGGCACAUCCAUGUUGAGAAUAGGCCGUGAUCAUGGCAUUCCAGGAAACUUCAUUUUUCUGAGGCAUUUCAAGAAACUCUCUUUUGGCAUCAUCAAGGCUCCCGGUCUUCGCAUAUAAUGUGAUCAACACAUUUGAAGCUUCUAUCUCAGCAAUAUACCCAGUUUUUAUGAUUUUGGCAUGAUCUGCUUCCCUUGUUUUAAGUUUGUUGUAUUAGCAGCUGCACUGACCACAGACCCAUAAGUGAACAUAUUGGAUUCUACUCCAGCUAGAUUCAUCUUAGAGAACGUGUAUAGAGCUUCCUCCCAGUGCCUGCUUUGUGAAAAGCCUGAUAUCAAUGCAUUCCAUGAGAUGUUAUCCUUAUUUUUAUUUUUGUCAAAUGCCAAGUACGCAUCCUGUACUUUGCCGCAUCUAGCAUAAAGGCUUAUUAGUGCAUUGCUAAUUGACGGGUCCAAGGAAUAGCCAGAGGUGAUUGAUUGUGCAUGAAUUUGUCGUCCUUGAUUGAUUGCUUGAAGUCCAGCACAUGCAGUAAGAGCACUUGCAAAUCCUAUAUUAUCUGAUUGAAUGCCCAAGUCUUGCAUUUCUAUGAAAAGUUUGAGGGCUUCCAAGAAAAGAUCAUGCUGAGUGUAUCCAGCAAUCAUUGCUGUCCAAGAGACAAUAUCUUCCUCUGUGAGACGCCUGAGAAUUUUCAGCCCAGUAGCCAGAUUUCCAUGUUUUGUAUACAUAUCAAUAAGCACACUGCAGACAUAAGCAUUUUGGUAAAGUCCAGUUUUGAUGACUUGACUGUGAAUUUGCUCCCCUAAGUCAAGAGCUCCUACCAGAGUACAGGUUCUCAAGAUACUUGGGUAGGUAUAUUGAUUAGGCUGCAGGCCUCGACUCUGCAUCUGUUCAAAAAUCCUAACGGACUCGUUCAGAUCACCUCUGAGACCAUAAGCCACUAGCAUCACAUUCCAGAGAACCACAUUAUCUUUCUGUGUUGUGAGGAAGAAUCUAUGAGCUGAUUCAACAUCAGAACAUUUGACAUAAAGGUCAAGCAGAGAACCUUCAAUGAUGAUAUCUGAACACAUUCCAGCCUUAAGCGCAUAAGAGUGCAGUUGUCUUCCCUUCAGAAGAGCUCCAUUGAUGCGCAAGCGCUCAAAAGGCUUGAAAUUGUAACACAGUCAGGCUUCAAGGAGUCAAUCUGCAUUUUCUUGAAUAACUCAACUGACCUCUCAUUAUUUCCUUGUUGAACAAGUCCUGAUAUAAGUGAAUUAUACGAGACCCUAUCCAUCUGCUGCAUUUUGCUGAAAAUUUGUUCAGCAGACAUCGGGUGACCGAAGCGAGAAUAUAAGGUGACGAGAGCAUUACACACAUAAACCUCUGAUGCAAAUCCCCACUUAUAGACAAGAGCAUGAAGCUGCAAUCCAGGUCAUAAAACUCUAUCUUGGAGCAUGCACUUAUAACACAUGAGAAAAUAUAUGGAGUAGGGUUGAUUCCUGAUAUGCGCAUCUCAUUAUAGAGGAUGAUACUGUCUUCUUCACGCCCAUUGUUAGAGAAACCAGAUAUCAUGGCAACCCAAGAUACACUGUCCCUUAAGAACAUAUUCUGGAAGAUUUGCUUAGCAGAAUUGAUGAACCCAUUCUUCGAGUACAAGUCAAUAAGAGGGUUACAAACGACUGUAGCUGCACCAAAACCGUAUUGGAUGACCUUAGCAUGUAUGUGUUCAACGUAUUGAAAAGUGACUUUGCCAGCACCGCAGGCCCUCAAAACACUAGCCAAUGUCCAUUCAUCCGGCAUAACAUUAUCUGCAACCAAACGCGAAAGGAGUCUAAAAACUUGAUUGUUCAAUUUUUCCCAAGAAAACCAGCUAUCAAUGUAUUCCAAGAGGACAGGUUUUUAGAGGGAAAAUCAUCAAACGUCUGCAAAGCAGAAAAUAGAUCUCCACAAGCAACAUAAACAUCAAGGAGCCAACACUGGAAGUCGUGGUCUUGACCGAAACCCAACUUAAAGAUCUUUCCUUGAAUCUUUCUGGUAUGGAUUAAGGACCCAAUGUUCAUACUAUAACAUUCAUUUACAAGCUCUAUAUAGGUCUUAGAAUAAACGGCAGGAAGAUCAACUGAGUCCGCAGCAUUUCCUUUUUCAACAGAUAAAUCAUCCAAAGCUCGUGCAGCCGCAAUAUUACUAAAAGCAGCAAACUUUAACCGAAUAGAGUUCUUCACAAGAGCUCUGUAAAAUUUGACUAGUAAGUGGACUAAGAUCUUGCCAAAGAACAGCAAUAAAGUAGCAUAUUGCAUAUAAAAAGUUUUUUUUUAAAAAAAAAAAAAAAAGAUAAAAGGAGUGAAUGAAGAAAAAUGGAAUAGUUGGGAGUAGCUUAUCGACCUUUGGGAAGUGAUGACGAAGAAGCAGAGAAUAGGGGCACAGCCCACCAAACUUUAUUAGGUUUGAAAUCAUAUGACUCCUUACUAAUGAUAAUUGUAGAUGGUGUUUGGCGAGGAGGAAAAUAGAGAGAAAUUGGGGAGGGUGGGGUGGGAGCAGAGAGACUUUGUUUGAAGUAGAAGGGGGCCGCUAUUGUUGCUGCUAUGGAGUUGCGGUUGUUUGGGUGGAAUCAGCGAGAGAGAGAGAGAGAGAGAGAGACAAAAGCAGGGGAAGGGGGCAACCUUGCAGCCUUGGACGGCGGUGAGUGGUUGUUGGGAGGCUGCUGCCGCCACUGCUGUGAGUGGUCGGUAAGCCCCUUGUGGCUAAUUUGACGGGCCAAAAAGCGUCUGCUGACAGGUUGCCGUGCUGAGUUAGCACGGCAGCGACAGAGAUUUUUAAAUUUUAAAUGGCGUCGUAGCAGAUUUUUGAUAGCAGCCGUUGAUCAAUGGCUAGAUCGACGGCUAGUAGCUUCUCAUGUAUUGUAAACCCGCUGAAAACCCUCAACUCUCUGAUUUCUACCACAUUUCUCUCAUCUCUCCCUCUCUCUCAACCCUCUCAAUUCUCAUUCUCUCUCGUCCGCACAAAGGAAAGGAAAAUAGGAGCAGACCUCCGCCGCCGUGUUUCCAAGUCCUGACGCAGAUGAUCUUUUAAAGCACAGCUCAAGAAGAAGUAAGGGGAACACUUUUUUAUUCUUUUAAUCAAUUAUUGUUUGUGUAUACUUUAUUUUGCUGUAUUAUAUAUCAUUGUCUUAUUUAUUUCCUGUGAAACUGGUUUUAGACAAAGAAUUUAAUUGUAUAUUGUGUUACAAUAAAGUUUAUAAUAUAUUGUUUUAUGUUAUGUUGUUUAGGUGGUCCGAGCAUGUAAAUUAAUAGUAAGUUUAAAUUAAUGGUUCAUAAAAAUAAAAUGAUUUAGAAUUAAUAUGUAAUUUAAUUUAUGACAUUGAAGAACAAAUUAAUAUAGUAUUAACAUUUUGUUCGUAAUUUCAUAAUACUAUUAAGUUUUGUUAAUUGGCCAUGUGAUUAAACAGAUUAGUUAGUUACUAAUUUAAUGGGUUAAAUAUAGGAUUAAGAAUAAAUUAAUUUAGGUAUCAUUGAUGUAGUUUUGACCUAUAAUCAAUGUAAUUAAUUAGGUGUAAUUAAUAAUUUAAAUAAGUGUAAUCAAUGUAGUUAAUCAUUUAAAUAGGUGAAAAAAAAUAAUUUAGAUAAGUGUAAUUAAUCGUAGCUAAUAAUUUAAAUACGUGUAAUUAAUGUAGUUACUCAUUUUAAGUAGGUGUGAUUAAUCGUAGUUUUAGCAUGUUAGUUUUUGUCGAUGGUGAGAUGUAUUAAACUAAUGUUGUGCUAUAUUAGGGAGAACAUGUCGAGCAAUAAUUCCUUGGUGAUUCAUCUUUAUUGGGGAGGAAAAAUUGUAUAUGUUGGAGGAUCAAUGUUAUAUGAUCCGCCUAUGCCGAAAAAAGUUAUGUUCCUCAGAGAAAGAGUAGGUUUUGAUGAACUGGUGGACAGAGCGUACAACAUUAUGAAUCUAGACCGGAAUAAGUAUAAGAUUAGUUUGAUAUUUCGGAUUUGCCUGCAUUAUGGGGUGUUUGGUGCAAUGCCUUUGAUGGAUGAUAAUGGAGUCGACGGAAUGUACUUUUUGAAAGCUAAUAGUGGACAUGCCACCGAGAUCUACAUAGAGGUGGAGGAGCUCUUAAGCUUGGGACGAUAUGAUACUCAAACUUUGCAAAUUGCAAAUCCACAUAUUGAUGGAGGCACUAGUCUAUGUGGAAAGGAGCCAAUGAAUAUAGGCGGGACAACUAGCUUAUUUAAAAGUCAGUUGAUCCAGUUGGAUUCUGGAGAUGCCCAACCGACUCGGAGAGGAUGCAGAAGGGGUACUGGGCGGCAACAUAUUGAGAUGGAUCGUCCAAGCGGUAGUCGGCAGGCAAAACGCAUGUCAAUAGUUGAGCCUCGUGAUUUGGAGACUAAUGCAGCUACAGUGUUCGAGCCCACGACAAAUACUGAUGUUGAAUUUGUAGAUGUGGACGUGGAUUCCGAACCAGAACCAGACACCGAUGAUUCUGUUGAUGAUGACCACAACUAUGAUGCAUCUGAGCAGAGAAGUAAGUCAGGCGAAGGUGGUAUCACCUCAUACACGUUGAGCCUAGUGCACCAUGUACCAUUGAUGUAACACCACAAUUGCGGUAUGAAGCCGGUGUUGAUGCUACGUUACGAUUUGAUCCUCUAGAUGUGAGAGGUGUUGAGAAGCUCAAAUUUUGGAAUGAGCACACGAAAGAGCUACAAUUGGGGUACCUAUUUCACACCAAAGAACAUGUAAAGCGGGCAGUGAAGUUGUGGUCUAUAAAGAAAAAUAGAGAGUAUAAAGUCCGAGAGAGCACUCCAACAACAUGGUAUGUCCGAUGCAAGGCUCGCAACUCCACACCUUCGUGUAACUGGCAGUUGAGAGCAACCUUACGCAGUUCUCAUAAGCUGUGGAUGAUUGUUACUCUUGCAGAUGAACAUACAUGUGUCUGUGUGUGCAACAAUAGUGACCACAGACACUUGAGUGAGGAUAUAAUUGCCGAGUACAUUAUCCCUCACAUCAUCAAAGAUCCAUUUUUCAAAGUAAAGAAAAUCCAAACAAUGGUGAAAAAGGAGCUCCACUGCAAUGUGUCAUACAAGAAAGCUUGGUCUGCUCGGCGCAAGGCUAUUAAUAUUAUAAACGGUGAUUGACCAUCAUCCAUAUCGUAGCUGCCAAUGUACCUGCAGGAGUUCCAAUGAUUCAACACAAGCAUGUCAAAGGACAGGGGCUAAGAGAUUUUGUUACUCGACAACACCUUGUGAUAAAGGCAAAAGAAGCGUGCAUCCUUAAAUUGCCAUUUCUUGUACAUUUUUUACACUAAUUACUUUAAAUUAUCUCUUUAAUUAUUUGAAAUUUAAUUUAUUUUUCUAUAUUUUUAUUCAACCUAAUUGUUUUAAAGUAGAAUAACAUUCCCUAUUUAUUUUAAAUAAAAAAGUAUAAAUAAUUAGAUGAAUAAUUAAAAUUAGAUAAUUUACAUAAUUUAAGGUUAUCCAAAAAAAGUAAAAGAAAAACUCGCACUCUAUCUAAACUAAGAGAUUUUACUACAAAAGACUUACAAACUAUGGGAGAACCCCUCAUUUUUUUUUAAAAAAAAUUGCAUUUUAUGGGCUCUUAAUUUAUAUUACAAAAAACUAUUUCAACACUGUAGACAUUAAAAAUAAAAAAUUUUCAAAUUCUUCAGAGACAUGGCGAGCUCUCAUUCUUUAAAAAAAAAAAAAAAUACUAUUGUUGCUGUGCUGAGCCAUUUUCUGCAGAGUUCCUGUCUCUGCAUGGAAUAAGCUACCAGGAAGAGCAGUAAGCAAGUACGACGUGCCAUUGCCACCACUUUUAUGUCAAAUUAGACCAUUUGGUGGAUUACUGGUAUUUCCUCAAGAUCACUUGCAAAUCUUUUGCAAUCUCCAUCACAAAGAGGGUCGAGAUGGCUUCGCUUGGAAAAGUGGAUAGGAGACAAGAAUGCUCCAACAUAUCUGUUUUUAGUUGAUCCGUUCUGGGAAUCCCGUGACAAACAACAGAUCAUGGUACAAAUCGCACGGAACUCUAAAGCGCUAUAAAGCAUCUGGAUCACAUCACUUAGAAGCACUUGAUGAUCAUCACAUCAAGCACGAGCUUAGAACAGACAAUUAUUGUUUGCUGCACACUAGUUAGCGUCCCUGAAACCCCAUGUGCCUGUUUUUUGCCAUAGAAGGUAGCCAUCUCUCCCCCCUAACCUUUUUCAAACCUGUCACUCGCUCUUCCUCUCUUUUAGCAGCUGCCUUAGCUGCUGCUUCUCUAGCUUCCAAUUUUGCCAAUGCUUUCUGGCCUGCAUCUCUUGCUGCAGCUAAAAUAUCCAUCCCAUCAACAGCAACAGACUGGAGUUGCCGUUUAAACUGCAAACAAGCCCAAAGGAUAUAAGGCCAGUAAGUUCUGAAAAAGCAUACACUUAUACACACCUUUUUUUGGGUUUUUUGGUCGGGGAGGGGGGUGUUUCUAAGCAUACCUUCUUUGACUUCUCGUCAAUCUCUUCUCCAGGAAGUAUUCUUGGUUUCUUAUUUGGUGGUUGAACUUCAUCUGAAAAAUGGUAAAUGUUGCUUUUAUAUCCCUAGGCAAUGCAGAAGAGAACGCAUAAGAAGUAGACACCAAAAAAUGGUUCAACAAUCGUCCAAGUUCAGAUCCCGCAAAGUACAAGAUUUAGAAGGUGCACUUCUGCUGAAAAUGCUUCCCCUCACAACAAAUUCCUUGAUUAAGUUGCAUCUCAACCAUCCACAAUGGAUGAAACCAAAUGCAAAUUGGACCUGUUUCCUACUGGCGAUUCUAUAUGUCCAGAUGUUUGCUGCAUAGAUGUUUCAGCAACCAAAAGAUUUGCUCCAUCAAGGUAUCUUAGAGAUAUCCAUGGAAAUUUUCAUUCCAGGAUGAAUUUAUUUCUCUGGUACCAAGUAAUUGACCUAACUGCCUGAAGCAACUUCCACGAACAAACAAUCUUAUAAGAAAUGCAAGAUUAGCACAUCAACUGAUCAGUCUAACCAUUACUUACAAAUAUAAGUGGCACAGAAAACGUAAACGCAAAACCAUUACGGAGCACCAAACAAGUGGCUGGGGUUGCGGCAGUAGCAAUUUCACUUGGACAGAGAAAGUAAAUCAAAUUGCAAUUUGUUGUUCUGAAAGAAUUCUGAAAAUCAAGAUGUUUGAUAAAGUUCACUCACCAAUGUGAUCAAACACAAUUCCACUGGGAGCAUGCUUAAAUAGCUGAAUUCCACCACCACUAUUUGCUGCAUCCUCAUCCGGAAAAAGAUCUGUGCUACUCACUACUUCUAUGGUCUUCUCCAUAAUAUCGUGCAAAAUUUUCUGGGCCUGUCAUGUAAUGAAAUUUGAUUAGAGAAAUAAAAAAAUAUGGCAGCAACAAAAAAGAAAAGGUCAAUUUCAAUAUCACGAACAAUAAUGGUCAUAUGCAGCUCAAGCUACUGUGGUAAAGAUAUCAUUGCUCAUUUUUUCUCCAACAUCAAGAACACAUCUCAAAUUUCAAAAAAAGUAUGGAGUAAAUGAUUCUAGCCUGUAGGACAAAAUUAAAGGGGAGAUCUUGCCUACUAGUUAUAGUGGGAGAAUGGGAGGAUACCACAGUUGCGACCAGUACCUGUGAAUGGUAAGUUGGGAGAAAAGAGAAAAAGAAGGGGAUUUAGGGGGAGAAGAACAAACAACUACCAGAGAAAAAAUCAAUUCUUAUUCAUCAAUCUGUCUGCCUAGAAUAACAUAGAAACACAAGUAUUCGCAAGCUAUAAACAGUACAAAAGCUCCUAUUUCCAAUUCCAAAGAGGAAAGCACACUAAUUAUUAAACUUUAAUAUAACAAUGACUCGAAUUAGUUAACAAAAAUAAUAAGGAACUAAAUUUAUUCAGUGACAUAUUUGCCAGAUACUAGCUGCGAACAAGUAGAAGGCCAAAAAAAUCCUUAAGACCCAAAAUUUUAGAAAGUACUAAAUCUCAGAAUAUAUAAUUAUGAUAAACAAAGACACUCAAUUGACACUCAAUUGACACUCAAUUGAUGUAAUCUUGAACUUAAACAAAGACACUCAAUUGAUGUAUUCUUGCUCAGCUUAUCUUCACAUGAUGAUUAAUUUAAGGUUGAGGAAAUCAUAAAAAUCUUAAAUUUCAGAUUUACUUGAGCUCUUGGUUGACUGCAUAAAUAAACUUUUCAAUUGCUACUGAAAGGCAGAAAAGAAAGAAGAAGUGGAUUUAGUCAAAAUCCAUUUCCAUAUACAGUAUCUACUCAGAGAAAAGCCACGACAAGAGAGCAUUAUUCACUCAUUAAAGGUAAUACUCAUAAGUUCAACUUUCUUUGCCAUUCUAUAUAGAUGAACAACCUUUCGGUCCAAAAUUUAUAAUAUAAUUGAGCUAAACCUUAAUCUUGACAAAUAAGUUCCAUGCUUCUACUUUUAAAGUUAUAAAUUUUCCAUCCUAGGGCAUAGCCAAAUGUUUAAGCUACUCCUAAUCCCCUCAUUUGGUCAGCAAACAUGAAAACUAGAAAUGCAUACAAGAUGGAGAAAGAAAAAAUUGGAUUAACGAGGCAAUACCGGUGAAUAGAAGGGGAUUUUUAACAUGGCAUCCUUUCUGAAAAAUGAAAAAUGAUGGAUACAUCCCUUCUGGAAAAUGAUAAAUGAUGGAUAGGACAUAGAUUUGCGAAUGCAAUAUGACUGAAACCGGGCUUGCACAAUCACAUCUACCAAACAAAAAUUUUCAUCAAAACAUCAGGAAUGGAAGUGAUCUUUUAUAUCUAAAAUCCUAAUUCUGAAAUGAAGACGUCUAACAGUCAAUUGUCUCUAGUAUAGACGGUUGACAAUAUUAUGCUUUGAUUACUUAGUGUAACCAUUAGGCAUGUAUUAAGUAAUAAUGUUGGAAAAAUGACGGGAAAGAAGUAUCCGAAUAAAGAACUAAAAGAACCAAACUUUAAGCAUGCAAGUUACGUCAGGAGAUUUUUUUUAGAUGUAAGCAAGCAAAGGUAUCCUCUUUUUGCAUUUAGCCGUUUUAAAAGGACCCAAGCGUUCAAGGACAAUCCCUAAGUUUUGUGCUUUUCACAAAAUGCAUAAGCAGCAGCAAUCAAUGUCUCACAUAUGUUUGAAACAAUAGUUGGGGGGGGGGGGGGGGGGCGAGAAAAAAGGAAGAACCAUAUUUCCCAGAAUGGUAUAGUUUCACGUAGUUUCCAGUGGAAACCUCAAAAUCAAAGCUAAAAACUACGUAAAACCAACGUUUCAAUGCUCAAGUCCUCAACAGGCACAGAUAACUCAAGCUGAAGCUAAGAAACACCAGUAGCAGAAAGUUUCCUUGGCAUAGUGAAACAUAAGUUGGACAUUCAACUUCACUUUUCCCUGAAUUAGAAAUUAAAAAAGCAGUAAUACCCUACCCCAUUAAGCAAUCACACAAUAAACCAACCAAAAGUAUCUGAAUUUUGAUAAAUUUCAAAGGUAAAACAAAGGAAAUACUAUCUGGUAAAGAGAAGAACAACCAGAAAAAGUAUAAAAGUAUAAAAACUUGAAGAGAAUAGUAAGUACUACCUUGAGUUGAUAAUGUUUGAGGUUGUGGGAUUUAGGGUUGUCAACUUCUUGAUGAUGAGGAGUAGAGGAACUGAGUGGAGCAGGAGCAGGAGCAGGAGCAGGGGCAGGAGCAGUGGCGGCAGCAACAGAAACCGAAUGAAUGGCGGCCUUCCACUCGGCAUCUCCAUCUUCCUCUCCGCUACUACUACUGCUGCUCAUCCCUGCUGUUGUGUGGCUAUAGCCGUACUUCUUCUUCUUCUUCUGCCCCAAUAAAAAGUUCCCCUUGCUGGGCCAAAUGCGGAUGGGUCAUGGGAAAAAGUUUAGAGGGGCACUUGUAAUUAUAUUAACUUCGAGGGAAAGGUUUUCUUUUUUCGCUUUUAUUUUUUUAAGGGGACCAAAGCGCGGCGGGAAAGAGCAUCAAAAAUUGAGGCGUUCCUUUAUAGUAGUCCUAUACCCUACACACACACACACACACAAAAUCCAUCGGAGAAAAUGGCGUUGUCGUAUCCACAGCCAGGCUCCCUCACCAUCUGCGAAAUCAAUAGAGACCUCAGUUCUGUUCUGUAACAUCUCCGCCCCCCUUCCCCCCAACGCAAAAAAAAAAAAAAUCCCCUUUUCUUUUUCAAACUCCCUACUGACUCUCUCAUUUUAUUGAUGAUAUCCCCAUUUUGCUUUAAUUGUAUAAAUUGGAGAGUGAUGAUUUAUUGAUUCUAAAAUGUAUUAAUUACUGCAGUUACUGCGGACAACCUGUCCGAUGAUCGGGCCGAAGAAACCUAUGCCAAAAUUCUUGUUAGACCCUCCUCCGCCUCCAUUUUAUUUAUAUACAUAAAAGUUUUCUGCUUGCUUCAUUUCAAAACCAAAUAUGAGUUUUUUCUGAUGAGUAGAAUACUCCGUGUAUAAAUUGCAGGGGACUGUUUUCAGUCCUGUUCCAUUUCAAUACGAGACUCUAUUGACGGUGGAGGAGCAGGAAGUUGCUGCUGCUGCCCAAACUAAAGGUGGAUUGCUGUCGGCUGCACUGCAGGCCGUCUCCACUGCUUCUCUCCGACCCCUUUUCCUCCUUACUCCUGUGAGUUUUUUUAUAAGCUUUGGACUGCUACCAACUUCCGUUCUAAGAUAUCAGGAUUUGGCCCUUUUAUAUCUCCUUAUGUUUUGCUUCCAUUUUGAGGAACUUCCAAAAGGGUUUAUUUCUUCCUUGCUGUCUAUCAUUCCUGUUGACUUGUUCCGGAGAGCUCAACAAAAGCUCCAAAGAGCGGCCAGAUUUUAGAAUUAGCCUUCCGACACUAGGAUCACCCAUGUAAUAAUAUUACACCUGUGCUAUCUUUAUAGUGCAGUAGGAGAGGAUUGGGGUUGCAGCAUGUGUGUUGGGAGAGGGGAUAGGGGAGAAGGGGGCAAGGCAAGCAAAAGAGUGGCAUAUCAGCUACCUCUCCUACAAUCUGAAAAGCAGAUGAUUCGUAUCUUUUCCCAUUCUUUGAUUCAUUUUAGAACUGGCUUAACUAUACCCACUUCUCUGAUCCACUUGCACUUUACAUAAUGACAAUAAUUAGAACGCCUUAUUGGUUAGCUUUCAGUUCUAUUCGCUUCCAUGGUAACACGUCUAAUUCUUAACCACUUUUACUUGUCAUUCUUUGUUGGUGUUAUCAUGAAACUAAGAAGCAUUGGUUCAAGCUUUCAGUUUUAGGCUGCUCUGGAUUGGAAUAUAAAUUAUCUCAAGUUUCCACUUUUCUUUUUUGUUUUAAUAUCAGAAACUAAAAAAUGUUACGUUUUAGAUUUUCAUCAGAGUAGAAGACAAGUUGGAAAGAUUCCUAAUUUUUUCUCACAUUUUCUUUUAGGUAAAAUUGUUGCAAGAUGUUGAUCUCUAUGGCCUGAGCUGGCACCAACACAAAAAUAUUUUGGCUUUUGUUUCUGGCCCAAAUCAUGUGACAAUUCGCGAUUAUGAGGAUUCAGGUUUCUGGCCUAUUAUCUUACUUUAUUUUGUAUUCCAUUUAUCGUCUUUAGAUUUCUAUCCCCUAUCAGAUAGUUUUAGGUUCUGAGUUCAGUUGAAGCCUUGUAAUUUAUUUUUAUUUCUUAAACAUGUAUUUCCCUGUCUCUAUCAGAUGGUAAGGAUCCCUGUGUUCUGAUAAAUGAAUCCCAAAAACAAGUUAAAAGUCUUGAGUGGCGGCCUAAUGGUGGGAGGAUGCUUUCUGUGGCAUGCAAGUAAGCAUGUUGCUUUAUGCCAAUCUCCGCACUUUGAACAGCUCUUUAUUAUCAUGCUAAUGCUACUUAAGUUUCACUGAAAGCUUUAGCUUGGACAAAGUUUUGAUUCUUGGGUGAUCAGGGGUGGGAUCUGCAUUUGGGCUGCUUCAUAUCCUGGUAAUCCAGCUUUGGUUAGAGGUGGAGUUACUUCAAGCACCCUUUCGAGAGGCUCUGGGACUAGAUGGACUCUGGUGGAUUUCCUUCAAAGUCAUGAUGGUGAACAAAUAAGUGCCCUGUCAUGGAGUCCUGAUGGAAGAUAUCCGAAAGAUUUUCUAUUUCCUUUGUUAUGGCUUUUGUCAAUUGAGCAUCAGUUUUUCACUCUAUGAUAACAUAUUGCUGAAUUUUCAGCACCUGCAUGUCCUUUUUUAUUUCUUUACUUCGAUGGCUUCCUUUCGCUUUUUAACAUUUUCAUCAUGUCAUCAACAACUUGUUAAGUUCUUCUAGGUAGUAAAUACCAUUUCUCUGGUAUAUGGAAACAUCUAACUCUUCACAUUGCAUGAAAAUGGAGCUCUUUGUUAAUCACAUCUUUGAUAAGUCCUCAUCUCAGAAUCUUCCCAUGUGUACCAGAAAACUGGUACAGAUAAAGGCAUUUAGCAUCUGCUGAACCUUUUUGACUAUAUCAUAAAGGCUACACUAAGGAAAGUGGUGUUUUCUUUUCUUUGUUGUCUUUAUCAGGCUGUUUACAAUCGAAAUUUUAUCAGUGUAGACCUUCUUAUAGCAGCGUCACCUGUGUAACAGCAGAUGCUUGGUGAAUAAACUCUCAAUUGCUUACCAUCUCAACCUUGUCCUUUCAGUAGGAUGCAACCAAUUUAGAAUAUCUUCUUUGGUGUUUUCUGUUGAGGAUGUGAACCUUGUUUCAUGAAUCUUUUGACAAUUCCUUUGAGAAGAUGAACUGUGAAUUUCAUAUUUCAUCAUGAAUCUUGCUUUACCUCCCCACAAGUAACUGGAGUACUGCUCUCAAUCUUACUCACAAAUUAUAUCGCCUUGAUAACACUCUCUCUCUGGUUAUUUCUAAAAUACUCAGCCGUAUAAAUGCCUUGAGAACAAAUGCCACUAAUCCUACAUAAGAAGGAGAUUAAGGAAGUGACAUUACGAGAGGGGUUUACUAGACUUUUCAAGAAUUUAAUUAAUCUCUCAUUUGGCACCUGAUUCAUUGGAGUUGUUAAGAUGAACUAAAAGGCAACUAUAUUUGUCUAGAAGUAUUUGGCUAGUUGAGUUUUGAAUUUUCUUGACUUUCAUUUACAUAUUUGGCAUCAGCUUCAUUUGAGAAUUCAUCAUUCACCAUUUGGGAUGUUGCUCAAGGUAUAGUAAUUUUGCUUCUCCUUGCUUAAUGUCAUAAUUUUGUUGCUGAAGUCCACAAAUGGUAUUAGCUGGCAUUCUUUUCCAUUUUGGGUUGAAAAACAAAGUCAAUAUUGGAUUUAAUCUGCAUGGUGUUUUUGUCCUAUUACCAAAUUCUUCAAGUUUUACUCCACUAAAUACAUGUCAUGCCUCUUUGAUCCUAGGGUGUUGGUAAAAUUGAAAUUUGAAGUCUGAUAUCUAAAGACCGAAACUUAAGUACUGAAGUCAUAAUCUGCGGAAUUCAUAAAGUUUUAUUUGUUUGAUAACCAGCUGAAUUUCAGCACUGAAUUGAAUGUUGUAUUCCAUGUAUAUUAUAUAUUUGAUAACAAUAUUAUGUUUUAUCUUAAAUUAAAUUAUUGUUUUAAAAAUAAUCUUAUAGUACUAAUAAAUUGUAAUCCAUAUAAAGAGUGUGUGUGUGUUAUAGAUGGAGAGUAUGUUUUUAUGUGUAAAAAUGUGUCUGAGAAAGAAAAAUAUGUAUUUUGUGUUCCAUGCAAGAGAUUUAGUUUGAAAAUGUGUAUUAGAGAAGAAAAUGUUGUUUGUGUGUCUGUGAGUGAGAGAGAGAGAGAGAGGGGGGGGGGACAAAAAUAGAGAGAAUGUAUGUUUACAAGUGUGUGCGUGAUGGGGACAAAAAUAUUAUGUGUGUAUGUCUGGAAUUGUGUGGGUGUGUGAAACAAUAAUUUGGAGUAUUUGUACACGAGUAUAAUUCAGCAAGUUAAGUGAGAAAGCUUUCACUUAGGAUUUUGUAUACAAACUAGGUGGCUCCUACUGUAUUUAGAGGUGAGGGAUCAAACAAGCUUUAUACAAAAAGAACUUAAUUUAUUUAAAUUUAAGUACUUAAUGGGGUUACCAAUCACCCACUUAGCAAUUGCCAUGUUGCGAUCAAGAAAUCUGUUUAGGUUAUAUUAGGCAAAGCUCUUUAAGAUCGACAGGUGUGCACGUGGAAUUGGAGAAACUUUUCUUUUGCAUUUGUGCAUAUUUAUCUACCGGAGACAUGCAGAAAUAAGAUGUAGAAAACUUGUCUAAUCAGAGUAUAAGAAAUGUUCCUAAUUGUUUCAAUUAUAGAACAUUCAAAUAAAGGGAUCUCGGGGGAUAUGGUGGUGCAUAAUUUCUCCUUUUCUUUGUACUGGAUGGCUUUGAAGAAUGAAGUAUGACUAUUUUCCAUUUAAGAAAAUAGUGAAGGAACUUUUUGGUGCUUGUCAGAGUAAUCCUUAUAGGAAAUGGUAUGGUCAAAAUGGUUUACCAAAACAAAGAUCAUAAGCGGUUUAGUUUAAAAUAAGCAUACAAAAGUAUUUGAAGUUACCCUCGACGCUAUCAUGACUAAAAUAGAAGGUACAUUGGAUGGUUUACCCUGUGGUGCUGAGGCAGGGAUGAAGCUCCUGUUUAAUCUCCCCCAAUUUUCCCAGAUGUCUAUCAUCUGGGCUUUUACUACUCAAACAGAUUCUUUUUCUAUUAAACAUUGAUGUGGUGAUUUUUCAAGGUGAUAUGUCAGGUUAAUAUACUUGCUGUUUCAUGGUUGGGUUUGAUACUCAUUGUGAAUGGCUUACCUAUUUGGUUCUUGUGUUUUUUACUCAUGUUCUUGUGUCCCACUGUGUGUCUGUUGGACACUAUGGAGAAAGAUGAAUAAUGGAGCUUUCAAUGGAGACCAUAUCUGCAGAACAGUUUAAGUUUCAAUUACCAGACACCUGUAGUUUUGGAUAAAUGUCCGCUACUCAGCUGACAGUUUUUUUUCCCUUUGAUAGGGCUCAUUAUUGUAUGAUAAGAAACUACUUGUUUUCUUUGGAUUGUGCUCUCCUGGUGCCUCAUAAUGAAGCUAUUGCUUUCUCAAAAAGAAAAAAGAAAUAAAGAAAAAAAUCCUGCUACUCUGUUUUAUGUUAUGUCUCUUAGUUGAUUUUGUAUAAUAUUUUUGUUUAGUGUUAAAAAUAUAUAAUUUGAAAGAUAAAUUGCCCGACAUGUUAGGUAAAGUGUGGAACAUAUGGAGGCAGUACUAGCUACUGUGUUGUACUUGUAACUUAAUACCUGGCAAUUAAUGAAGCUCAAGUACUAUGAUUAAACAAUUAAAGAUGUAAUUCUGCUGUGCAAAAAAGAAUUCAACAUGAAACAGAAAGUAUGGGAUGACUAUGUAUUAUCCCCUGGCAAAAUUUAGACAUUGCAGAAUGGAAUAGUUGUUGUGUCUCCAGAAACUCUGUAAAAUGUAGGAAACCUGAAUUUGUUUGUCAAUGAAUGGCUACCAAGUGCUAUUGGUUGUAGAGUAACCAAAAAUGUUGUUGAUCGCUUUUGGAAGGUAAGAGCAACUGUUGCCUUAGUUGGGAUGGUUUUACAAGUAAUGCACGCAUUACCCCAAAUAAGCAUGCUGUCAAGGUUCCAGUGUAGAGUUGGAUGGACGUCCUAAUAAAGGCAGUCCACAACACAAUCUGGACAGCUGUGUUCAAAUUGGGGAAGUGUUAUUGCUUUCCAGCUGAAUGUUUGAAUGCCUGCCUUUCACAUGGUUGCGUGUUGUAUUUGCUGAUGGAGUUUUGUCUGUUUAUCUGGCUUGUAGGGAUGGGCAGACCUAUUCGACGUGGCUUGGGGGGCAUAUCACUGAUUAAGUGGUCUCCUUCUGGAGAUUACUUUAUCGCUGCAAAAUUGUACUGUCACUUACCACUCUUACAAAAUAUUUUCUCAUGUCAUAAUCUUUAUAUACACAUCCUAGCCCUUGAAACAAAAAGCAGAUGAAAUAAAAAGUUGAAAUCUUGCUGGAGAUAUGUUCUCACCCUGAUAGAGCAAUUGCCCCUUCUUGCAGUGAUGGAACAUUUCAUAUCUGGGAGACUAACACUUGGACAUCAGAACCAUGGUCCUCAACGAAUGGUUUUGUAACGGUUAGACAAUCAUGCUUCUAAGUACUCAUGUCAACUUUGCCUUCUGCUACAUCCUACUUCAGUGAACUCCUUUUUUUUUUUCUUUUUUUUUUUGGGGUUGGGGGGUGGAUUAAGAAUAUUUACUACCAUGGUUUACUAUUUUGACAUCUUCACUGUUUGCCAAGCUCUCUUUCUUCCACUCCUUUUUGCCCAUCUAAUUCUUUUGUUACUAUUAGAUUAUUUCCUUGUUGCAUUACCAUCAGAAGAAAUAAAAGCAGUUCCACUUUCUCACUUUCUUAUCAUAUGUUACUUUGACUGUAUCUUAAUCAAAAUGUCAUUAUGAUCUCCAAGAUUUGCACUCAUGUAUUUUCUUAAAGCUUAUUAUACUUUUUGCCUUUUGAAUUUCAAUUUUUAAGUCUUGCCGUCUCUAAUGAUUCUAGUUCUGAACUUACUGGGGUUAAAGAGUGGAUAUAAAUAUGUGGUCUCCAGAGGCGCAGAUAAAAUGUUUCAAUUGAUGUACGCCAUUUCUUGGAAAUUGCUUAUUUUGUGGUGCCAGAUCCAUGAUGGAUUGGGGUUAUUGCUGUUACUUUUUGUCAACUGAUAUAUGUGAUGAUAUAUGGAGUUUGUGUUGAUGAUCUUCUUAUAUUGUAUUCAUCAUCAUUCACUGGAUUCUUUGUUUUCAUUUUGAGGCCAUCAUUUGGACGUGUAAUCUUCAAAUUAUUCUGCUUAGUAGCUAUAUUUUGAUUGACAGGGAGCAACAUGGGAUCCUGAUGGACGAAUGAUACUCAUCGCUUUCUCUGAGUCUACAACAUUAGGGUCUCUUCACUUUGCAUCAAAGCCUCCAUCCCUUGGUGUGUGAUAUUCACCUAGUUCCUGGGUCUACAUAGUUGUAAUUGUUAGUUUGCUUUCUAAUUUCAUAGGUGUUUUGAUGUUGUUUUGUAUACAAUAAAGUAGGGAAAAAGCAUUUGUCUCAAGGUUUCAUUUUCUGCUCUUUAUUUAAUGGUUGGAAGCAUAAUAGUUAUUGCUCAAGAAAAGGAGGACACAGCAGUUGGAAGAUGUCAAUGACUUAAAUUCAUGGUGAUCUCACAAGAUGCAUUAUGAUGCUGAUUUUUUUAAGCUUUAACUGACAAGUCAAGAUGAGUGCAUUACCCCUUUUAGGGGCUGGGUGGUCAUAUUUUGCUUAUUUCCUUAGCUUCUUAACAGGCUUGUAACAUCUCCUUUGGCUUCAUAAGAUACCUCUUUGCUGCAGUGUUACUCACCUCAUAGUCAUCUUGUUCUAUGGUACUUUAUGCAUGAGGGAUUUUUUGUCUCUGUUUUGCUGCUGAAAAGUUGUUUUUUUGUGAACUUCCAUAGGCAGUGUCUGAACUUAUGGGCACCCUAAUAGCUGUUUGCAGACUUUGACUUUCAACAGUAUUGUUUUCCAGAUGCACACCUUGUACCUGUAGAGUUGCCAGAGAUUCAGUCCUUGACCAGAAGGUUCAGAUGAUAAUGCCUUGCUUCAUGAAACCUUAUAAUUGUUGAAUAAUGCUUAUAUAUUUCUGAUCUUGUUAAUGGAUGUUGAUUUCCUUUUAUUUGAGAUGAUUUAUGCUUGUAAUUCCUUUCAUCACUGGGAUAUGGAUUGGCUCUCUUUGACCAGUCUUUGUAUAUUUCUCUUUGCUAAUCUAUUCCAAGUUAUAUCUGGUUAAUACUUGGAUGGUUCUCUGUAACUAUGGGUAAUUUUGACUAGAGAGUAUGGUUUGAGGAGUCUGGAGUAUUUUUUAAGGAAUUCCAUCGAAAAGUAGAUUGUGAAAUUGUGAACUGGUGAAAUGGUUAAUGGAUUUGAUUUCAAUGUAAUAUACCCAUCAUGAUCUUACUUGGGAAGGAAGGAACACACUCCAAUAAAGUUUACUGUUACAAGAAUAAGGCAUAGGGACACUUUUAUUUGAGUAGCUGACUGAUCCAAAAAAGGAAGUCUCUGUAUUAAUAUCUUUAAUAUGCUGAAAGAUUCUUAAGAUGCAUGUUGAGGUGGAAUUCAGUUUUAUUUCCUAGGUUACAGUAGUGGUGCUAUUUCCCCUGCCCGGUAACUGGGACUACCUAUAUUUGUCUACAUGUUGAAGGAGGGAUAGUUGAUCAAACUCAUUGCAGUUUGGCAUGUUGAGGUGACUGGUUAAUCAGUUAAUGAAAGACAUUCCUUGAAUCCUGUGAACCUGGUGGAACUUUCUUCUGUGUUUCUCCGUUUUGCUUAGAUAUUCUGGAUCAUAUGUCAGCCUUAUGCCACCAGGAUGAGUCAAGGUCAGUGGUUUGAUGCUAUUGCAGUAACUUCAUUUGGUCAUAGGCUGCCCUGUAGUGCCGUGGAGGAUGCUUCCCUCAAGGUCAGCUGAUAUGGCUUGUGAUUUGAUCCUUUAGAUGAUAGUGCUGGGUGAGCUCCUCAAAUCAUGUGAGACCACCCUAUAUGUGGCACUGUGAAAUUUAGCAGGAGGCUUGUCCAAUUUUGAAGGCUAUAUCUUGGGAGUAUUAGUUGGAACUGAAUGCAAUUUAGCUCAUCUGGCAUCUUUAGGCAUGUCGGCCUCCACGCCCAAGUGGCCUGAGAUGCAAGUAUGACAUAGGCAGGCAUUAUUUAGGUUAUGUAGGUUCAACUCAAGGUCUGCUACUUGCUAAUCAUAUGAACAGAGAUCAUGGAUCCACUCUUAAUCUCUUUAGAGCCCUGCUGCUGCCAUCAAGACCUCUUAACUGCUUUGUCUUCUCCCUCAAUUGCCUCUCACCAUCCUCUCUCUCUCUCUCUCUCCUAUAGCACAUUGAUUAUUGAACUCCUAAGAAAUGUAAUGAUACUUGUUUUUCUUUUUGUGUAAAAUUUCAUGCAUGGGGGCAUUUGUUUUUAGAAUCAGUCCUUAAUUUCCUUACCUUCUGUGCAGUAAAGGAAUUGAGAAGAUAGCAUGGGAUGGUUCAGGAGAACGAUUGGCUUUGUCAUACAAAGAUGGGGAUGAUCUGUACAAAGGUCUUGUGGCAAUAUAUGAUGUUAGGAGAACCCCCCUGAUUUCAGCAUCACUAAUGUAGGUCGAAUAUUGUGUUCUCUUAUCUUAGCUUCUUAGACCUUUUCAGUGUUUUCUUAUGCUAUUUUGUUUGUGGAUACCAAUCAUUUCUGAUUCUUGUUCAUGUGUUUGGUUCCAUAAAUCCAGUGGAUUUAUUAGAGGCCCUGGCGUUAAUCCCAAGCCAAUUGCACUGUCAUUUCAUGACAAGUUCAAACAAGGGCCCUUGCUAUCUGUGGUAAGUCCUAUGGCACUGUUCAUUUGCUACUGAACUGUGCCCGUCCUCUGGCCUUUUUUAUUAGCAUUUUGAGAUGAUUGCAAAGUUCAUGGAUUCAGGCAGCAAAAUGUACAAGAACUCUGAAUGCGCAUCAUAUAACAUGGACAUCCCUUGUGGAUUGAAUUCUCUUAAAGCACAACUCUUUACGCUUUAAAGACUAACUUAAGUUCUUGUCUCAGACAUGGAGCAGUGGAAUGUGCUGCACCUACCCACUCAUAUUCCGCACGCACGUUUUACCUUAAACCAAGGUAUUUUUUUUUUGUUUUUUUUUUGUUUUUACCUGGAAAAAUCUGCUGUAUCUGUACCAUAUGAUUCCAUUUUCUUGAAAUAGUAGUACCUUAAAUCUGUACUUGUCAACAAUAGGUCUGGGCGACUCUGGUCGCCACGGUCGAAGUACCUAUCAUUGUGUCAUUAGACAGCUGCAGUUGUCAUAAAGUUGCUGGUGAAGCAUUGAGUUCAUCUUCGUAGUCUCUCUUGGAGGUCGAAAAAUGAAGUAGGCCGUUUAUGAUGUUGCUUUCAGCCAAGGAAAACACUACUGUCAUCAAUUUUUAUCACUAGUAGGAACAAAGUGAAUAGAGAUGUUGAAAGUGAUGGAAGCUAAAGUGGGCGGGGAGGUUAUGUGCUGUCAACCUCAUCUCUCUUUUGAAACCUUAUUUGUGCAUCUUCAAGUUAAUUAUGCUUCAAGUGAUUGUCAAUGUUCUCGAGUCUGUAGAUUUUUCUGUUCAUUUUUUAGUCAUUUUAUUGUCAUUAGCUAUGAACAUGAAACUGUAGUAUUUAUACAUUUCGAAAAUGCACCUGGAAAAGUGGAAGAGCGCACCUGUCAUUCUGGCAGUGGUUUUUGGAAGAGCUGAUAGCUAUUGCAAUUUUAUUAAGUUCAUUUUUCGCUACAAAACCAAUGCAGUUUUUGGUGGAAACUGGAAGGGUAUCAUUUCUUCUGGGAAGAGAGAUGGGGCUGGCCAGUGGCCAGGUAUCAAGGAGAGAAUUUUGGACAAAGUUUGGUCAGUUAAGAAUGUAAAGAAGAAUGGGAAAUCAAUCGACUUCCCUAUAAUUGAAAUCCAAAUUAAAGCAUGAACAUCUAUUCUACUUCUUGGCUGGCUGAAUCUGUAAAGGCUUUGCAACAAGGUAUCGAAAUUAAGGCUUCUUCUGCUUAUCAUCAGAGCGAUACUGUCAGAGCUGAGAUAGAUUAGGCUCAAUUCUGGCAUGAAUCUGGAGCUGGAAUAUGAAGUUCAGAUGUUCAUUUUCGGAAAGUCCAUCUAUAUAUACACCUGGUUAAAAGCAGGGAUGAAUUAUUAAACCUCGUGGGGUACAUGUUUUGCAGUAAUACAAUACAACGGACUAGUUACUCGAAGGAAAGAAUCCUAUAGGCAAACUCUCUGCAUGGGGUUGUUUUAGUUUGUUUUCAAGGCAAAUGUCUUUUAUGAUAAAAUCAAGAAGAAUGCUUUAGACUGAAAUCAUCUUAUUAAUGCCUGAGCUGAGAGGAUUAUCUGUCCCUCCUGCUAUUGAUUGGCUACCAUGCAAAAGAAUGCAAUGAGAUUAGGAUUUAGGCCAAGGAAAGGGGGAGAGGACCGUUCCUGCCAGUUAAUGGCCAAGAUUUGACCAACAAAAUUUGUAAGGUCCAGAUUUUAACAUGUGUGGGGCCAACAAAAUAUUGUACUAGUAUUACUCGCUGUUGUUCUAGUGUUACAUCGUGUACAAAUGAUGUUACACCGUGUGCAAAAUGCACACAAGCUUUCGGAACGAUUGCACUGACAACCGUUCCAGCCCCGGGUCCAAGGCAAGGAGCAGUUGUUAGUUCAAAUACUCACCAUUGUAAUUAUUUUUUCUCUUUCAGACACGUUAAUGAUACAUUUACCGUUUUGGUUAGCUAUUUAGGAAAAAGGGACACUUCUUUUCCCUUUUAUUUUUAACCCAUCCCUCUUCCUAAAAUUGUAAUCGAGUCGAGCUCGAGUAUCGUGGUAUUCAAGCUUGACUCAACACUAGGAAGACAUUACUCGAACUCGAACUCGACCUCGAGCGAGUAGCAGAAAAAGAGCUUGAGCUCGAAUAAUUGUUCGAAUACUUGAAAUCGACUCGAUUAUGCUCGAUUUUUCUUAUUUACUUUUACACAAUUUACAAAGAUGAUUAAAUUUCAAUAGCAAUGUUUAAAGUAACAUUUGCAAAGUUUGAAAAAAUAUAUAUACUAAAUUACAAUUCAUGCGGGGUUCCUAGUGACACGGGCUGCACCUAAGUUGCGUGCGGUCGUGCCUUUCCGCACGGGCAUCCACGCGUGCCCGUGCCUAGUCGCACGCGAUCGUGCCUAGUCGCGCGCACGACAGUGCCUGUGCAUGAACCCGCGCGUGCGACUGUGCCCAUCCGCACGACCGCCCGUGCACGACCGUGCUUAGUCGCGCGCAACUGUGCCUAGUUGGCUAGGGUUAUUCCACAAGAUGCUAGAAUUGUGGAGAAGAUUCUAGAACCAUGUGUAAUACUCAUGAACCUUAUGGAUAAGCAUGCACCUUGAGAAUAAGGAUGAACCUUGAGAAUAAACAUGACCUUGUGGAUAAGGGUUGACCUUGUGGAUAAGUUUUGACCAUGUAGAUAAACAUUGACCUUGUAGAUAAGUUUUAGACUUGUAUAGAGAAUUUUAGGACCAUGAAGUAUUUUGGCUUGCCUAUAAAUAGGCCAAGCCCUUUGUAUUGGAAAUGGUUGGCAACCUUGUGUAAAAAAGAUUUGUGUGUCAUAUAAACUUUCCUUUGCCACAAACACAUAUCUUUGUCUAUCACUUUUGCGCUUCCGCAUAAUAACCGCGCAUUGAGUGUUAAGGCUGAACUAGCCAAGCGUUCCUAGCUUGAGACUUAAACGUACGCUAGUGCUGCACGGGAUGUUGGCUUGUAGGAAAAACAAGCAGCCUGUGACACUAGGAACCGAAGGGACUCAUGUGCAAAUCUCACUAAUUGGCCGUAAGCCCUUGUUUUUUGGGUUUUUGGGAAUUUUAGGACCCAGACCAGACACAAAGACUGAAUUGGGGCUCUUAUCUUAUCCAUAACCAUACGAGAGAAUGAUUGAAAGAAUUGGAGGAGGGAGCAGCAGAGAUAGUAGCAGCAAGUAGAAUUGGGCAUUUGAGCAAUGGCUCUCCUCCUCCAAAUUCCCGCUUCCAGUACGAGGACUACCGUUUCAACUCUGCUUUCCUCUCUUUCCUCAUCUUCAUCGCCUUCACUAACUUUUGCCCUCACUUCUUUUCCGCGUAAGAGUAUAAUAAUUAAUACCCCUCUUCUUUUUAUCGCCAUUUCUCCGUCUGUGCAUUUUUACACUUUUUUUUUUGGUUUCUUUUUCCUGCAAAAUAUGUUCUUGAUUGUUUAGAACUUCUGGGUUCUUUAUUCCCUUCGUUGCUAGUGAUUGUUCUGUUGCAAAGUCAUUUGCUCUUUCCCUCCAGCUCAGCAUCUUCAAUUGGCUCUUUUUUUUUUCCUUUAAAAAUUUUAUCUUUGUCCUGCAUUAAUGCUGCUCAGUUGCCGAAACAUUUGAGCCUUCUUCAUUUUUUUUAUUGGAGAUUCUGAUCUUUUAGUCGUACCAAGUAUCUAAUUUCGUGUUCGUAUGUUUCCAAGCACCCUUUUUCCCUGAAUGUUUUGUCUUUCUGGUAUUCCAUCGACUAUGUUGUCUGCGUUUUCUUCCAGUUGAUUUAUUUGUUGGAUGUUGGAUUUUUUUUUCCCUUGAUCUGUUUCUCCAUUUUGCGUGGAUUUUAAAGUGGAGGUAGCUUUGCUUGAAAUUUUUUCUGCCAAGGACAUGUUAUGGUUUUUCAGUUCAUAUAAUGUGGAUCAGAUGCAUUUUCAGAUGUUGUUAUGCCCAGACGCUUGAGAAAUGUAGUUAAUUAUUCACAGCUUGUGUCAUGUAGCCCUCGUAUGAAUCUAAGAUCAGUUCAAAAGGAUAAUUCAUUCCCAUUUUCAUUUAACAUUUCAUAGCUGUACUGGGUAAGAUAAUCUGAUUUUUCAUUUUCCUUAAUCACUUGCCUUUUUGGUCUUUUUGCUAGUUUCCAGGCUGUGCAACAACCCUUUGGCUGCAUAUCCCAAACCGUAUGUUGCAUGCAGCAUUCAGCCGCCUUUCCUUCAGAAGGAGAGGAGGGCACCGCUGGCUAAGGCAUCUGCUGAAGGCGCGAACUCGGAUGGGCCUGAGCUUCCGUCAGAGAGCGAGGAGGAAGAUGUGCCCAUUCAGAAUCUUCCUCUGGAGUCCAAGCUUCAGCUGAAGCUUGAGCAGAAGAUGAGGAUGAAGUUGGCAAAGAAAAUCAGGCUACGAAGAAAGAAGCUGGUUAGGAAGCGUCGCUUGAGGAAGAAGGGGCGAUGGCCACCAUCAAAGUUGAAGAAGAACAAGAAUGUUUAGUGUUUGUCGGAAGACAUCUUCCAGGUUGAGUGCUGGCACAUUUUCUUGCUUAUGCUUGUUGGCAUUCAUCUUCCAUCACUUCCAUCAGUUAAUUUUUGUGUAAUGUAGUUAGAAACUCAGCUGCUAAGUACAAAUGCAUAACUUCCAAAUGGUUUAUCAAAUCAAGAGAUCUAUUGUAUUGACCGGGUUGCUUUUGCUCUUUGUGCUGGACUAUUCUAGGCAUUACCAGAUGAUCGGCAGAUUUUUUUUUUUUUUUUCACUUUUGUCACAUCAAGAUUCAUCAAAAUUAGUGAAAUCACCAUUAUACUCAGUUUGGCCCUUUUUCGAUCAGUUAUAAUUGCAUUUUCUGGUUACCUUUUGUUCUUGGGGCAGUUGACUUGUUUGUGAAUUCUUAUACGGUUUGUGCUGGAGGCUAUAUGAUCAUCAAAGCUGAGAAAAUUCCUUCUACUUCUUAUAAACCAGGUACUUAUAUCCGAAUAAAAUGUGAAUGCUCUAUAGCAUGCUGGGAACAGCUGAAACAGUGUUGUUUAUUCUCUUAUAAAAAAUAACAAAAAUACAACUUAAACUGAUUUUACUAAUUAAGAUUGAAGGUUGGGAAUUCUCCUGUGGUGGUUAAAGAAACCAUCAAUUUUGUUCCAAAUGUUUGAAUGAAAGCAUACAAUUACAGGAUUGCUGGAUUUUGAGGAUGAUACAAACUUUUUGGAUAUUAUGUUGGAGAAAGUUUAUGGUGGGGGAAUAGGGUAUGAUUUUUUUUAAUGGGUUUUGGCAUCAAAUUUUGGAAGAAAAAGAAGUGUUGAUGUGCUUAAAUAGGAGUUCUACAAAUUUUGUCGAACAAAAAGCACCACUCUAGAAAUCUACAUUCAUUGUUCAUGAAAUUUUUAUGAUUAUGUUGAGUUCUAUUUUUCUGAGGACAAAAUGAUUUACAUGAUGCGCUUUUGUUAACAAUAAGGGGAGCUGAUAAAUAUAUUAAUGUUUGGUUUCUUGUGGCUAUGUUUAGCUUUGAGGGUUGAAAUCCUAAAUAAAUAUCUGUCAAUAUCUGCUUCCUAUAUUUGAUUAGUCUUCUUUUGUCAAGAAAAUUGUAUAGCCUUCACUCUUGGACCUGCCUAAACAAUGCAAAGCCAGCUUUAUUGGUGUUGUUAUGAUUGAGGCAAGCAAUCCUGGUUCAUUGCUAUGUUGGUGUUGUUUUCAGCGCAUCCAGGAGGCCAUUUUGUUUUGCUCCCUGCUGUGGCGUUGUUUGAUCUGCUAAGAAAAGACUUUUUAGUUUCAGCUGCAGACACCAAAAUGGACGUCAAGAGCGAUUUGCAGCUCAAAAGUUCCAUCAUGCUGGUGCUGUGCUGCUCACCAAUUCCACAAUGAUGGGAAUUGACAUCCGUCUAAUCUAACAGAUGGAGGAGAGUUGCUCAACCGUACACAAAAGGACACCUUGGAGGGGGCUUGAUUUCAAAGAAACGAGACCGUUUCUUUACCCCUUCCUUGCCUGUGUCAUUUCUUUACUGUUCUCAUAAUCGGCAGAAAGAUGCAUUAUUCAAAUCACUUCCCUUGCAAUGGAAUGCCUUUUUUUAAGCACAAACAGAAAGAAAAUUCGAUACUUCUUCAACAAUGAAAGAGUGUAAACGAAAUACAGUGCAGUAUAGGAUGAAGAAACACGUCCAGUCCAGUGCUGAGUGAUAAAUAACAACGAUUGGUCUAAAGAAGCCAAGAAGGAUAUAAAACCUCACACAAUGACACAAUCAACCAGUUAAUCAUACUACUAAUAGCCUGCGUUAAAAUUUUUCGACUUUGCAUACCCCUAAAAGUGACAAUAAGGAGUGUUGAGAUAUGUCAACUUUUCCUACAGAUUUUGCUAGAUUAUGUUUGAUAUCAAAAUAAUUUAGUUAUUAGAAAAAUAAGGAUAUUUGUUAACCAAAAAUCAUAUUGGUUUGUUAACAAAUAUAUUAGCUAAGAUUUGCUAAUAGAAAAAGAUGAUAUUUUGUUGAGAUUUUUAAGAUAAUUGUUAGUUGAAUAUUUUGCUAGUUUAUUUCAUGUAAUCACUAUAAAUAAUGAGUUGAUGAAUGUAGAACACAAACUCAUUUUUCAUCUUUAAUGCAAGUCUCUUAUAAGCUUUUUUUGCAGCACUAAAGUGUUGUUUUUUAGUUUAUGCCCCCAAAAAAUCAACACUUAGGAAGCGGUGGACAUCCCAUGGAGCACACAAACACGCCUACAAGGGAAGGGACUAUAAUGCAUAAGAGUUUUGUACGAAAACUCGCAGUUUCACAAGACAAUACACUGAGGAUAAAGAGUCUUUCUCCAUUCUUGACAAACUUACAUGAUGCACCGCUAUUGACUGCACCAUGCCAGUACAACUUUAUGCGGCAGCCAACAAAUGUCUCUCACUCGAGCAUUCCAUUCUCUCGUUCUUCGUCUUGCACCUUUACUUUUCGCUUUCCUCCUUCACCGGUUUCUUUCAACGUCAGACCCGUACUAAUGCUUCUUCACAUUUUUUCAGCGUUAAGACAAUGGCGCCUCUGUCCCAUCAUUCCCACUCUUCCGUUCAUUCCACUCUUCUCCUAGUCAACUUACAUCCAGAACGGAAGUUUUAACCGCUUUGAUUUGUUUCUUUAUCUUUCCAUGUGUUUUACCACUUUUGGCCAACUCUCAUCAGGUCAAUGUCGAGUAUGUCAAGUUUGCCUGAUAUGUUCCAAGGCUUAAUGUACCCUGAACCACCAGACAAAGCCUUGACGGGUUGUUAUUAACUAAACCAACUUACCAGUCUGCUUUAUAUUCUACAGAGAAUUGCUGUCAGGGGAGGGAAGCAGGACCUAACAACCUUUCACUUCCCACGGCCUAAAUUGUCCAUGUAGAAUGCCAAAAAAAAAACAAAAGAACCUGCACGACGAGAACAAGAAGUUGGACAGACUUCUUUUUCCUUCUGUACAUUUGCCAGCAGCCAAUUUGCAUUACGACAAUACUUAGAUCUAGCAUCCCGAUUUCCUUGGUGCUGCUUGUCUCAGAAUGAUUGGUUCCUACACAUUGUACACCUUUUUCCCUUUCCAAGUUUCCUUUUUGUCAGACCAACAUUUCACCUUGAAGAAUGUUGAAUUUGCAGAGAGGGCAGGUUGCAUUAAUUCGCAGCCAUCUGCGGAUGCAUCGGUAAUGAAAAUGGUGGUUGCAGGGGAGAGUGCACACCUCCACUCCAUCCUCAUAGCCAUGAAGGCAUAUGCAGCAUUCCUGCAAUGGGUAAGUAUUCAAACCAAAGCUCAGAGUUACGGUCAUGAUUAAAACAUAAGGAAUUAGUAGUAAGAAACAUCAACAAUUAUGUUGUUCAGAAAAACAGCGGGUAUGAGAAGGCUGAAGACUGGAAUAUAUCGGAGUACUCAAACCCAGGUGACUUUCAACCUAAAAUUGGGGGAAAAAAGCCAUAAGAAAUUGAUUAAAGAGUUAAAUACACAAUUAUCCAAAGUUAAUUGCUAAGUUAUCAAUUUACGGCUGGCACAUGUUAGCAAAUAUUAACUAAAUUGACAAAUAAAAUGGUUACAUAACACAGACGAAUCUCAACCAAAUUCAUCUGCCAAUUCAACUGUCAAAAAGAGGCACACUAUUCCAACAUACAAGGAAUUAGAAUACCAUGCCAAAAGCCAUCUUCAAUCUGCAAAUCAUGAUCAAAUAUUUCCAAAGUCUUACCAUAAAGUCUAUAAUACAUAUGUUAGUAGAUGAUUUUCCAGUAUAGUGAAAUGGCACUUAAGAAGGGUGUUAAGCAUGAUUCCUGAACUACUAAAAGCUGAAUACUGAAGAGUUGACUGACAAUCACACCCCAAGAAAGAAUGCCCACAAAUCCAAAGCUUAGACCACUCAGUCAGUCAAAUGUUAAAUGAUGCACACAUCUAUAACCAACUUGCAGAAGUCAAAAGCAUAAGGAGGACUAUAUUACUUAAUAGCAUAUAGUAUAUCAAACAAAGAGGUCAGUACCCAAAUGCAAAAUAACAUAACAAGCAAUUUAGCCUGUCCAACUUUUGCUUUUGCCAGUUGCUAUAUUCUCGGAAAGUAAUUUUGUUAACUAGACACCAAAAAGAUGCAACUGUAAAAGCUUUAUCUCUGCAUAUGUAAAGACUAAUCCAAGAAAUUUAAAAGGCGACUUUCAUGGUCCAAGUAUACAAAACUAAGUUCUUCAAGUGCUGCACCGUCUUCUCCAAAACCCCAAACUUAGGAAACUCUGCAAUUUUCUGCUGUAUAAACUAGAAUCCAUAAAUAAUUUUUGCCAAAAAAUGUGCAGCCAGGUCAUCAACCAACUUGAGUGUUUGGAAUAUAAGCUUCGGUGGGGAAUCCUAUGAAAUUCCUACCAAUAGAGCAGAGGAGACAUAUCAAACUUGAUUUUGUACCAGUUCUGUUAAUUGCAACCAUACAGCUUAUGCCAUGAGGAAGCAGAUAUGUUAAGAUUGCGAAAGCUUCAAACUGUUAGUGGCUCAUUGUAUUCAUGCUCGGUUUUAAGCAGCAGACCAACUCUUGAGGUGGAUAGAAAAAGGAGUGAGCUUAGCUUAAGGAGUUUCCUAUCUGAACCUUUGAAAAGUGCUCUUCCAGUGGAUAUCUCCCUUCAAAAACAACAAACUUGGAGCUGUACACGCUAGACAAUGGAUUACAUAGCAUUCUAGAUGCAAUAUCAGGAAUAAUCACUUCUUUGACUCAACUGAUGAGUUAUGAGGAAUCUGACUUUAAUAAUUUGCUUCUGAAAUAUAGACAGGGAAAAGGAUAGGUUUAAGCAAGGGAGAAAGCCAUUCUUCAGUGUACUGUUGUAUUAGAGGUCAAACAUUUCACAGUGAAAAAAAAACAAAGAAAAUUUGAAAAGCAAAAUAUACAAAAAAUCUACUCUCACUCUCUCAGUCUCCUUGAUUUCUGACGGCGUAUAACAAAAAGAACAAAAACAAUAUUAAUUGUCUUCCGAUAUACCCUUUAUAUGUGGAAAACAAGAAAUUUGAAUGUUCUUAAGAGCCUCUUUUAACUUGCUCAUUGUUUUCCAAGUUCGCAAAGGAGUGAAAGGAGCGAAAGAGAAGUUAACAGAUAAAUGGGAAAGAAACAAGUCCAUUUCAGUAAAUAGAUAGAGGAUGUUGUAGAUGCUUACAGAAUCCUCCAAACUGAGGGCAAGCUCAGGGAUGUUGCCGCUGCCCAGGUGAGCUAGUAAAGCAGCUUCUUCUCGCUUUCUACAAGAAUUGAUAGUCCCUGCAGCAUUAGGAAGGCAAUAUCUAUACUUGGGAAGAGUCCUUAUAUCAUUUUCAGAAGCUCCUUCCCCAACUGUCAUAGCAUGUGCAACCCUUGCCAAUAUUGGGAAGCAACAUGCCAGCAAUACAAAAAAAAUGAACGCCAUUGCAAUGCAAAAUAUCAUGAAGAAUACAUCGAAAGCCAGAAAAACCACUGAUAACCUGCAGCAGUUAUAUAUGCUUCAGUUAGGGCCCCCUUUUACAAGUGCAGACUAACUGUCAUGUUUGUUUGCACAGAAAAAUAUUAUUCACAGAAAACCUAAAUAGAUUGUACUAAAAUUUUUGCAGAAUUUUCACUCCCUAGACAUAAAUGACAUCCUCGUUCCGUUUGUUUCCAAAAAUUUGGAAAUUUGAUUAUAUUUGAUCUCAUUUCUCUUUCUGGUUAUGCAUCAAAACUGAUUAUAAAUGGAGAAUGCAAGAACUUUUCAAAUUUCUCAGGCAUACAUUUACUGAAGAAAAACGAAAAACAAGACAAUAAAGAUGUUAAAAGAAUUUGAAGGAGCAAUUUAUGUAGGGAGGAUAGUCACUGGGGCCUCCAAUCCAGAAGGGUUACCAGAGCAACUACAAAGAUACUCUUAAUGAAGGCUACAUUUCUUGGUUCUUUCUUUGCCUGUUGGCUAAGAAAUUUAAUAUUUCAUAUAUCGGGCUACAUUUGAAGCCUCAAGAUGAAUUUGACUCCAUAAAUCAGAGGACAUAUAGCACCCACGGAACCAUCUUUGUCCAACAACUACCCUUCAACAUGUUGCAAGAAAUUGUCAAUUGAUCAUGGAGCUUCUUGCAAAGGAUAACAAAUUUUAGAGCCUUUUCAGGGGAGGGGUGGUUUGAGGGAUCAUAAUUGGAAUACAAUGCAUAUGAUGGAGCUCCAAGUUCUCUAAUAAGCUAAACUUCCAUAUCCUACCACUUCACCAAAAGCAGCUUUCAUAUUCUUUUUCAAAAAUAAUCCAAUUGGAUCUAAAUAAGUAAUAAGAUUUUCUGAAACCUUCAAAUAAGAUUCAUACCAGUAGAGACGGGGCGAAUCUUGCAAAAGUGCCUUUCCACCCAUAUAUAUCCAAUAGAAUCCAAACACCCACCAGACGGAUGAAAUAACUGUGUUGAUAGACUCCAGCCUCUUGACAAAACUACAAAAGAGAAUAAGAUUGUAGCGUAAGAAGUAAUAUCUUUUGUUUAUAUGCUGAGGACUUCAUCAUUGUAAAAAUAAAUUCACUUUAAGCUGCCCAUUUCCCUAAUGGAAAGACAAGCAAAAGGAAGAAAGGAAAGUUGAUUAAGUUUUGUUUCAUUAACCUUCGAACCAUUAAGCCGAAUUAUGCAUGCUGCAGACCAAAAGUGGUAAAUCCUACUAUGGCCUAUUAAAGUUGAACAUUUAGACUAAUAUACCAUUGAAUCAAGUUUACAGGGAGCUGAAAUAUCUCCUGUACUAGUUUGGAGCUUAUACAAACAAGAAGGAAAGGCCAUGUUCCAGUCAAACUUUGAACAAGGACAAAAGUACAGGCAAAGGAGCAGCCAUGGAGCUUGCAUAUCCCGCUGUGGAAAAUUUACUAUGAUUUCCAAAUAGAUGUUAUUCUAAAACAUUUAAGGUACCAAAUCAACAGCCAAAAAAGAUUCUUUUAUUUUGUGUAUACAUUUCAGCUCUUCUUCUUUGACUAGUAUCUGACUACCUUUAUACCUUCCUUUAUCUUUCUUGUUGCCCUAUUGAAUUGGGGGUCAGAUACCUAAAUCAGAAACUUACCCCAAAUGGGUUGGAAUGAAUCAAUUAGGGGGUAAGGAAUCACAGAAACAAGAAUUUAGUAAGAGCAAGAGUUCCUAAAACACGAGAAAGAGAAGAAGCAUCAUACCCUCGGCGACAAAGGAGAGAAAAUGGAUGAAAGGCAUGGAAAUGAUGAAUGUAAAAAUGGCUGCUUUGAGAGUGAAGCCAAACAAAGCCCACAUGCAAGAGGCACUGCAGAGCAUAGCCACCAAUCCAAAGCCUUAAAGGGGUGGUGGGUCUCUCGGUGACGGUAGUCAAAAGCACAAAGGCAGCCACCAACACAAACCCCAAGUUCCAUAUCAAAUCAAGAAUCACGAAGGGCCUCGAGAAUGGACAUUCUUGGCCUACUGGGAGUGAUGGGCCACGGCCACGGUCAUCCUCGUUCUCCUCCCUCUCCUCCUCCUCCUCAUCAUCAUCAUCAUCGUAAUCAUUGAAGAAAAUCCUGUGGUGGUUCAAGGUGGCGGAGGUCAGUCUGGAGAAUAUGGUGGCUAUAUUGGUGGGGGCCCUUGUGUUAUUGUUGGAGCUGCUGGUGCUGCUGCUGUGGCCAUUCUGAAGAAGAAGCAAGCCUUGCUGCUGGUUCUCCAGGUCCAUUUAUAGGGAUGAUAAAAUUCCGGUAGCUGCAAUCUACUAUUUUGCCCGAUGAGAGAGAGCUGGUGCGGUCGGUGGCGGUGGUGGAGUUUUGUUUUGUUUUGUUUUGAGAGAUACGGUUACAGUAGCAGUCGAGCAAAGAUAUGGUAUGUUGGUCGACUCUGCUGCACUGUGGGAAGUGGGGGCCUACUGAGGACUGAGGAUUGAGGAGAGACAAUCAAUCAUCCAUCCGUGCAAUUGCUCUUGGGAGUAUUAUUUAUACACACACUCAAAUCCCUUUGUAAUACACUAAUACUACUAUCUAUCUACGUCUGCUAUUCCUUCAAUACUUUUUUUUUUCGUCAAUUGAUACCAUCUACGUCUACUUUUACUCUAAUAUAUAUUAGCGAGUGAUUCUGAGAAAUUGACGGAAAUUAAACUACCAUCAAAUUAUACAGUCCAGUGAUAUUAGACAUCUUCUAAAAUUAGUAAGUUUUGGCCAAAAAAGAAUAACUUUUGUCGUCAUAAUUAGUGUGUUUUUCAAUUUUAUCAAAUACACUGCUACUAUCACCAUCUAUGGAAAAUACAUUUUAUCCAUUCAUUCAAUCUUAAAAAGGGUUAUAAGUACAAAGUAUUUUAAAUUUCUUUCCUGGAAUAGAAAUAAUUAAUCUAAAUUAGAUAAGAUGUAUAGAUGGUCGAAUCUUUAUACAGGGAGAAAAAGUAAUUACAGUGCAUGCACCUAUAAAUAUUUGCAGUAGUAAUUUGUAUGCAUGUACCAGUUGCUGCAAACGAUUAUGCCACUCUAUUAGUAUUAGAGAGGAUGCAUCCAUAACAUAUUCAUGUGCUUUCGCUUCAAUCCAAUGACUACAAUUAUUACAUAACAAAUGUACAUAACUCCAUGUAUAGUUAUGUACAUAUAUGUAUAUAUAUACACAUAUAUUUUAUGGCCGGUGAUCAUUUUCACAGGCAGACUCGAGUAUUGAUGGAUAUCCAAAAAGGAUAAAAACAAUAAAAUUGAUGAUAUCUCUUUUUCUUUUUCUUUUUUAGUCUUUCCGAUUCUCUCUUCUAGGGUUGUGCAUCGAAUUCGAAUUCAGUAAUUCGAAAGUUUAAAUUUGAAAUUUUUCGGAAUUUUGGCAUAGGAAUUACCGACUGAUUUUGAUUUUGAACUCACCAGUUUCGGUUUUCGAUUUUGAUUCCGAUUCCGAAUUCGAAAACCUUUUUUCCCUUUUUUUUCUUUUUUGUUAGAGGUAUUGUUAUAUAAUAUAAAUUUUAUAUUGCAUAUAUUAUAAAAAAUAUUAUUAUAUAUAUAAAUAUAUAUUAAUAUACAUAUUAUAAAAAGAAAUUGAAAUAAAAAAAUAUUAUUAUAUAUAUAAAUAAAAAAAUAUUAAUAUAUAUAUUAUAAAACGAAAUUGAAAUCGAAAAUUUCGAUUUCGAUUUCCGAUUUUGAAUUAUGAAUUCGAAAUCGGAAAUUCUGAUUUCAAAAACUCCAUUACCGAAUUUGAACCAAAUUCACAUAAUUCGAAAUCGGAAAUUCCGAUUUUAGUGCCGAAUUCCGAAUUACCGAUUUCGAAUUGAAUUCGGUCGGUAAAUCGGAAUUUUUCGAUUUUGCACACCCCUACUCUCGUGUCACUGGUUAUUUCCUUUUCUUUGUUAUUAUAUGUGUACUUGACAAUAAAUAUUUAAAUUUGCUCUAACUCAUUCCCCAUAUUUUGCUGUUUAUUUGUUAUUUUUCAUUGUAAUUAAGAAUAAAUUUUAUAGAACAACACAAAGGAUAUGUUGCUUAGAUGGCAAAGGAAUUGUUUAUGCUGUUGCCAUUUUAGUUCAAGGGGGAUACUUUCGUAGUGGUAAGCAAAAGAACAACUUCAACAUGAAUGCUCAAUAUUUCAGAGCCAUUAGUACAAGUACAAGUUAUUAGGGAGGGAAAGAUGCAUGUUCUUGGACCUAAAUGGCCUGUGACAUUGUCAACAAUGUCAACAAAUCAAAGGAAGUAAAAGUAUGUGGAUAAAGUAAGACGGUCAUGGACUUCCCAGCAGCUUUCAGGGGGCUUUGGACUGGUGUCACCUGCAUUCAGAUUAAUUCACGAUCAGACUGCAAAACAUUAUUGUCAUCUGAGAAUCCCUAGGCAAACACUUUUUGUGAUCGAUCGAGGUAGCAUGUCCUGCAGUAUUUCGGAAAAAUACAGCAGGAAAAGCAUUUUGGUUCAUACCGCUUGAGUUCAGACAAAAAUCAAGAAUAAUUAUGACCUGAAUUGUACAGGCCUACACGUCGGUACCAAUUAUGGAAACUACUAUAUCCCAACUACUACUGAAAUGGCUUUAAAUCUAUCCAGGCAAUGGCUGCAUGGUAGGAUAAUGAAAUACUGGACAUGCAUGACAAAAACAGACAGCUAAUUUUCAGAAACUUUGUGAAUUCCUCAAGCACUACAAACUCAAAAGCAUGAUUCUCAAGUACCUUAUGUGGUUCUUUGAAAGAAUUCUCAUCCAUCAAACUGCUAGAUUUCAAUAUAGUUUGUGUGGAACCAAUUGCUUGUAUUAAGUUUGAGUCCAAAUUGUCAAUGGUUAUCUUAAGAUUCACCGUACUGCUGCCAAAGUUCACAACCUGCAAAAGAUGUUCGAACAUAAAAUUGCUGUUAAACGAUCGAAUGUAAGUCCAACCAUUCUUUCGUUUUCAAAUAAGAACAGGACAUAGAUGGCCUCAAACCCAAUAUUAUGCUAGUUAGACAUAAGAAAAAGCCUAGAUCAUGGAGUAUGCAGCUUUAAGAAGAAGAAAAUCAUACUGAACUGCUAUCUUGAAUUUCCCUAUCAGGAUUUCGAUAUGUUCUAAGAAUUGCAAUCAAGUAUUACAGGCAAGCUUAAUGUCAUGUUCUGUGCUAAUAAAAGAGAGCAAUCCAACCUUGAUUCUCAAAUAUUGUCUACCAUCAUCUGAGGAUUUCCAGAGUAUAGCAGAUGCAGCAAGUGAAGCUGAGGUCUUGGCACCAAGAGUGGAAUUAAGAAGCAUUGCACCAUUUGAUUCUUUGAAAAAGGUCUGCAUCCAGUAACUAGGUGUUCCAUAGACCUUUGAAGAAUCGAAUACAAUAGCAUCGGGAUUGAACCUAAUUAAGAAAUGAUUUUGUUCACAACACAUACUACAGAAACAAAAAUCAUAAAACAGAUGGAGAGAAGAACUUAGGCAUACCGCCUGUCAUUGGCAUUCACAAAUAGAGGGGCAUUGCUCGCCAUCUCAACCGCAUCGCUGCAUUUUGGAAGUAUAGCUAAGUCUUCAUUUUUUUUCAAAAUUUUGUUUAUCCAGAUAGCCAUAACAGUGAAGACAUUAAGGCACUGUGACUAAGCAAAUAUUUGUGAAGUAAAGUAGUGAAAUAUCAAUGGAUGCAACAUGCAAGGAACAUUUCAGGCAAGUUGCAGUCAUGCUAGAAAGUGUGUGACAGUUUGACUAUUUAUUCAAGUUGGUGAUCAGCUCUUGGUAGAGUAAACCUAAGCGAUUCUUGGGAGGCUGAUUUUUGUCAGCUAAGUAGCUUAUACAAUCAAUUGAUCUAAGGCAGGAUUAUGAGCAGGAUUAUUUGGUUAUGGUUACUCAGUACAAGAGAGUAAGUAGUCUGUCUAGAUGGGAAAUCUGAAGUGCUCCACAUUGGAAGAACAACCAAAACCUACUAGUCCUUAUAAGUUUAAGUACAGAUUGAAGUUUCUUUCUGCAAAACAGACCCGCAUGAGCUUUUGUUAAGUUACUUGUUUGAACUGUUUGUUUCCAUUACACUACAUUAAAACUUUCAUCUCUCUCUCUCUCUCUGUCUGGGUUCCAUACAUGUACCAUUAUCGAGUAAACUUGGUAAAGAUUCUUCUUAUCUUAUACUCCACCCUACAUAAUUAAUGAAUAGUUUUUAGAACAGCAGCUGGCUGCAUGAUGCUAUGAAUAACUUCAAAGGAAAUCUGUAACAGGGGAAAUCAGGAAAGUAUGCCAUCAAAAAAAUGCUUCAAUUUGCAGCUAUAAACUCAUGUUUCAACAGCUCUAUCCUUACAUGCACGAUCUGGUCACUACCUUGCUGCAUCCCCUGACUUACCAUCCACGAGAGUUUAUCAUUAUCUGUACUAUCAGUAAAAAGAUGAACAUACGCGCAAUGACAAGUAUUGAAACAGAAAUUCGGGGGGAAAACUGCAUAUACCUGUUUCUUUCAAGGCCAACAAGCAAUCCAGCCUGAGCAAGUGCAGCUAAAAGAUUUCCAUUACCUGCAUCUUUUCCAGUCACAGCGUAUUCGCUGACAAAAGCCUGGAAAACCAUUUAAGAGGCUUCAGAUGCAUCACAUAAGAAAGACAAUUUACAACUCUUGGAAAAUACUUCUGCACACCUUAGGUCCGAGACGUGCUGUACGGUCAAAGUUACGAGCCGAUGCAAAGACAUAAUUAGCAUCACCAUAGACCUACCAGAGAAAGGAAGGAAAAGUGUAGCAAAAUCAGGAAACAAAAAGCCAACUGGUAUAUCAGUACUAAGGCUUCAAGUAAGCUGUCGCAAUUCAUAAAAAAACCUUGAAGAUCUUACGUGGAAGUCGUAAAAAUCUGCUGGGUGAUCCAAUGGUGUGGAAGACGCAUCACAGUUGGAGAUAACAUUGAUAUCUGGAUAUGCAUUCUUUAUUGCUGAAUAGAACUUGAGAUAGUUGCCUAAUUCAUGAUUAAGAAUGACUUAGUUUAAUUUCAUUCCACGUAAAUUAUGUAAUUUAAAUAAACAGGAAGCGAAUUCAAGCAGUGAUUUCGAAUCAUAGUAAGGAUUCUGUCAACAGAAUGAUGUAAAUUUAAAACCUUUGUAGAUGAUUUUACUUGUAGAGUAAGGAUUUUUAUAUCUUUUAGUUUCCUAGAGGGGAAGAAAUUACCACAGGGAUAGCACAGUAACUGGACAGUGUUCAUAAUGCAUAUGUAAUUUUGUUAUCAUUCUUCUGCAGUGUAAGUAGAAAUCAAGUGUGUGGCAAGAGCCAUUGCAAUUUGUUGAUGGAGAUGAGCUAAUGAGAACUGUAAGGCCAAAAAAUAAAUUACUAAGCCAUGGUAGAGCCAAAACUGUUUAAAGUAUUCACAAAAUCAAAUCAACAGUCUGACAUAGUCAUUGUACAAAUAUGCAGUAAGUACCAAAAGAUUUGCAGCUCAGAGCUCAGGUAAAGAAAGGUAAACAGAAAUGUUCUACUUUCUAAAUCAUCAGAUAGUGUAAACAUGCGAGUAUGUGUCCCAACAAACUUGGGAGAUUAAAGUGUGAGAAUUAACUUUCGCAGAAAGCAGGAAUUGUUAUGUUCUUCAGUUUCAUCAUAUGGUUAAAGAAAAGGAUAUAUGCUUCAAAAGCACCAAGAACAACAUUUUGCCUACCAUGAUAAUUUGUCUUUCCACAAUCCUGAUUCCCAAUUGCAACAUGUCUCAGAUCGAAGGGUUCUGGAUGGCCCAUUGCUGCUCGGACAUAUCCCCAUGUUGAAUUAGGAUCUCCUCUGGCAAACUCAAUACCAUCCAGAAUUUCCUACACUUGGAAAGAAGAAUUCUUUAUUUCCUUUGUCAGCCUUCCACUCUUAUAUACAGUAAUUAGUCAUGAAUCUUUAGACUGAAGAAUCAUACUUAAAGAUCCAACGGAUCAGAGCAUCAGGAAGGUUAUUUUGGAGGCAGCUCCAAAAAACAAUGCUAUGUAACAGGAUGAUUUACUCACAGAUGUUGUAACAUGAAUCAUUACUUGAAGUUUCUUGACAAUCUAAAGUAUUGGAAAGUUUUGAGAUUGAUGGAUGUUUAUCAAUCAUUUUUUUUUUUAAGCAGAACCAAAAAACAUACCUGCACAAAAGGUAAGAUUCUCUGGGUAUCAAUUUGAUCAUUAAGGCUGAUUCCUGAGGAAAGAUUAAUAGAAAACAAUAUCAAUAAUGAUUCCAAGAUAUAUAAAAGUAAAAAAAAAAAAAUUAAUUAUGGAAAAUCUGCAGAAUACCAGUAUUGAAAACCCAUAUCGGUAACGAGCCCAAAUCUUCAGCGAGCUGCAGAAUAAUAACGACGAAAAAAUGAGAAAGAAAGAAGCAAUCAGAUUAUGACUGAAAUUCUCCAAGAGAACAAGAGCAAUGAUAUGCCUGAAACCAUUAUAUAACCUGGAGAAACUCAAACAGACCAAGUCCAUCAUCAGUCCAGUAUUGCCAAACAUCAUUAAAAUGUCCUGGCCUUUCUUCCCAUGGUCCAACGGUUACUUUCCACUGAAAUGAAUUUCUUAACCAUUCACCUUCGACAUAAGAACCACCUAACACAAGAUGCACAAAGAAGAAUAACCAAAGAAUUGAGGCCUCUAUGAAAGGUGAUGCUGCUGAAAUGAAGUUAAUCAGACUACAAAAGAAGAUAUACAGAUUUAACCAGUAUGAUGAAAGUAGAGAGUAGAUCUACAGCAUUGGUUGGAUUGACUAACUAAGACAGCCAGAGUUUGUUAUUGUCAACUACACAGAUUAUCAACUUGCUGAAGCCAAAAAGUCUAUCAUAUUGCUCAGGGGAGAGAAAUUGUAGAUAAUCCAUAAAUGAAACCAAGCUAUAACUACAAAGAGCACGGUCAAAGUGAGCAGACCCAUUGGAGAUAAAAUAUGAGAAGAAAACAUCUUACAGAGUUAGAUAUUAAAAUCAGGAGUUGUCUACGGGAUCAUCUAUAACUUUUAAAUCUCAAAGGUUUAGUAACCUACAGUGCAACAUGCAGUUACAUCACGCAUAGAAUUCCAGUGACCAAGGAAAUAUUUGGAAUCAUAGCUUAAGAGAUGUUGCUUGAACUAAAAUUUGCACUAUCCUAAAUUGUACUCUUGUGAACUUAAUACUUUAAUAACUCAAGAUUCAAUGUUGUAAAACGCAGAACUUCCAUAGCAGUCAAAAAGAUUCUAAGGGCCAACUGCUAUAAAUGGAUGUUUAAGUAAAAAGAGAUUUUUUUUUUUUUGGAACAAAUAAGAAGAACCACAGUUGAGCAUUCACAUUACUUUAGGUCUUCGUCCAACAUUAACUGCCAUAAACUCUUCAAAACCUCAGGAUGGUUAAGAAUAAGAACCUGAAUAAGCCAUGCGUCUGCUGUCAUCUAAGAAAGUAAAAAAUAAAGCACCAGUAGAUAACCACCACAUUUACCCGUGGUUGGAAUAAAGUUUUAAUUGUGCUGGAAACCAGAACGAGAUAAAGCAGACUGCACAACAGGUUGAAUUGCUCUAUGGGAGAGUCAUGGAUUAUCUGGAGCGCUUUGGAGGGUCAAGAAAUCUAGGUAUGGUAUUUUGAGGUAAAUGAGUAUGCUAUUAUGCCUUGUCUAAAGCUUGUCUAAUUGCCAGCUCAAUCUUACUUCUUUCUUUAUCAGCAUUUUCUGAAUUUAAGGAUUCUUUAGAACUGUAUGGAUACAACCUUUUUCACUGAUCCUAUUCCAUCCUUAAAUAAAAAAUGAAAAACACCAGCCAGGAAAACAUAGGAACAUGGUAUGGAGUAUCCCAAGUUUUCCAAUGAUGUCUUUGUUUGAUCAAGUUUGUCUGAAGCCACAAGAAGAACACGUUGCAAAUUGAACACAAGAAAUCAGUUACAACAUACCAGGAAAUCUGAUAAACCUGGGUCUCAAAUCUGCAAGCAUUUGAAAGAGAUCCUGUCGAAAACCAUGUCCCUGUGGCAAGGAUAUCAGAGUGAAAACAAAAAACAAAAGAACUACUUGUGGACAUGCAUCUAUCUAAAGGUAAAGCACGGAUCUCUUAUUAUUAUCAGAAAAGCCAAAAUCAGCAUUAAGUCUGAAUCUUUAGGUAGCAGACCAGUGAAAAAGUGAAGUAAGUUCACCAAAUCAAUAUUUUACCAUGUUGUAAAGCUUCCACUUUUCUGUCUGGCCACAAAUUGGAAUGCUUAUAUCAUGAACAUGGAAAAAUCCUCAUACAAUGUUAAACGCUCAAUAGUUAACUACCUAAACCAAUCUUAAUCAGAAACCCAAAAAGUGAACCUUUAGGACACAAGAAACCUAGUCAGGCAAUUAGUGCGUUGUAGCUUUAUCAGAAUGAGGCAAUAUCAGCAAUGUCAUGAAUCCACCUAGAUUUUCAUGCAAUGUUCCAUAAGAUAAAUGCGGGACCAUGACUAAUAUGGCUGGUCAAUGGGAAUCUAUGUUGAUGAAUUACACACCAAAGAGAAGAAAGUUGUCAAGAGGAAAACAGUUCAUUGGAUGACAACAAUGUCUGCUUUCACUUCUAUUAUAGAGAAAAGUUGAUGAUUAAAUGCGUACUGGGACCAUUAAUCAACUUGGCAGAUUGUACCAUUUUGUACUUGCAUUCUUUUCUUACUCUCUUGUUAUCACAAUUCUUUGAAACCCAAUUCUUGGACUUGAGUGAUGAUGCUGAACUUUUGAUGAUUGAUACCAAAAACAUGUUAUCUUUGUUUCCCCCUACCAGCUUUUUCUUUCUUCUUUUGCCUUAAUAUUUUCUUUUGUCUCCCUAUAUUAUUAAGGUAAGCCUGAUUAACAUGAAAUUCGAUUAUGGAUAAAUAACAAUGUCUCCUUAAGGUCUCACAGUUAAAACUCAUAAAGGUUACCACAAAGAGAAAAGAGCAGAAACUUGUAGGCAUCCCAGUUGUAAUUUUACUUCAUUAUUUGUACAUCUGAAAAUCUCUGACUCAGUGAGAUUUUCAGAAGAAAAACAGUAAAUUACUUGCAAGAAAAGAUCAGUUUUUUCUUAAUAAAUUGUUCAGAAAUUGAUUGAAUUCAAAUGCGAUUUACACCUUGAAUGUGUCCAAAGGCAUGGCUGAGACUUGAUCAAACCAUAUGACACCUUUUCUAGUUGUCAUCAGUUGCAGCCUCGAAUUGGGAUCACUCCCUGUUGCCUCCAACAAAACCUCAAUCAUUGUCCAAUUUGAAACAUCAGAAGAACUGCAAGAACACCGAUGAUCAAUUGAAAGUCAAAAUUUGACAGAGUAUGUAGAUUAAGAAGCAUCCUGAUAACCAUAUUUAUGAGCAAAUGGUGCUCACACAAUGUUAGAAGUAGCCAGUGUCCUCGCACCAUUCGAACCAGUGAAUGAGACAGUUAUGUUAAUUGAUUCUGAUGAGCGGACGUACAUGAGAACCCUAUAUGUCUUCUGUUGUUCAAUGUUCUAGAACAUGGCAAAGUGAGUAAUGCAAAGGGUUUAAGUCAGUUAGACAUCCUUACUACAAAAGACAACAUAAUGGAUUAGCAGAUCUCUUUAGCAACUAACAGAUAGAGAUUAGGUACAAAAUAUGAAUUAAUAUGCCUGAACUAUUAUAUGAAUCAUGAUGAAUAUAAGAAGUACACAACCUAUGUGCAUAAAAUCUUGUCAUAUGCAGAUAAAACCCGAUGCUGACGGCGCUUACUUCCAAGCUAAAAUGUGCUCUAAGCAUGUAAGAGAUGGAAUAAUUGAACCUAUAGUGAAUCUUGAAAGAAUUUAAAUGGACCUCACAACUGUUAUUGGACUAUGCAACAAACACAGAAAGGUUCUAUAUGAUUGUUGAAGUCAUGAGUUAUCUUUUACCAUGCCCCAGUACCCAGGAUUAUAUAUUCCAACUCCUUCAGCGGGACAAAUGAUGGGUCCUUCAUUGUCACAAAGGACCUCCAUCCUGAGUGCAACUUUAUUUCGUUCAAAGCAUGAAGAACGGUCCGUCGAUACAAUUAACAAUGAUUCAUCACCCAGAAUAGACCAAGGAUAUAUGUUUGAUGGGAUGCUCUCUCCCCCAGCUUCAAAACCUGAAUUUGUGAAUUCUCUUUAGAACUCAAAGAUUAAAGACCUAAAAAAAAAAAAAAAUCAAAUGAAAGAUUCUGCCACCAAGUAAAGCAGACAUAUACUUGUCAAGCUUUAUGAAAACCUGAAGAUGAUAAUCAAAUCGAUCUUCCCUGAGUCCUUAAAAUGGGGGUGGAAGUAAGCAAACUGUUAUGAGUCAUUGCAACAAUGCUUGUCAAGUUGUUAUAGUUUGCAUAGUGGACUUAGCAUCUGGGCAUGGCAAUAAUGAACCUGCCCGAUUGGUAACAAAAAAAUAAAAAAGAACUUUGUCUUCCAAAAUCUUUAAACACAAUGAAAUGAUUAGCUCCAUCUUGAACACCAUCCUAAAUGUGCCCAGACAAGAAAUAGGUAGAGAUCUGCAAAUUUUUUAAUGAACUUGACAUUUUUCACAAGAUAUAACUUUUCUUAUAAUGUGUAUAUAACUGCAGAAGGAUAUUUCGGGAAAAGGAUUUCUCACAACCGGCUAGAUAUGAAGUGCAUUGCUGAAAAGGUAUAAAAUUGAUUAUCCUCUCUGCAUGCUAAGACAAAUUCUUCACUUAAUUUCAGAGAGAGGAAGUAAGACAUUGCCGCAAAGAUACAAGCUUCAGAGAUCCAACUGAUACCAAUAAGAUAUCAAUUUCUUUAUGACUAAGUGAAGGGAAACGUGACCUCGGUUACUGACUAGCUCUGCCCACAAUCCACCAGCCCCAGCAUGGUUGAUUUCCUGUAGAACCAUUACUGCUCAAUCAAUACACUUGAUGUAGUCUGCAAGUUGAUGUAAAAGAUAUAACUAGGAAGUAAUACAAUAUAAGCCUUGGAUUUUUAUUUUCUGCCAAAAAAAAAACCCUGAAAUAAGAUAAACAAAGAUAAGAAUUUGUGGUUGAAACAUAACUUUUUUUGCAUCUAAAGGACAAAAAGUAGGCAGCAAAUCACCCUUAUAUACAAAUAAUUAACCAUGUCAACUGAACUAACCUCGAAUGAUAUUCCAAACAUGGUUUCAGGAAUCUUUCUUGCUGAUGCUUGAGAACCAUCCACAGACAGCGAUGCUGACUGGUUUGCCUCAAUUCCAGUUGCAGAGCUAUUAAACGAGGCACACAACACAACUAAAAAGAAGAGCAGAACUCCACAUGGGUGAGGACUUGAAGACAUUUCUUCCUUGCAGCACCAGUUUAAGCACUACAAAGGAAAUUAGUUCAGGUUUGUGCUGAGCGGUUAACUGGUAAACAAAGCGUGAAUAGAAUGACGUCCUCCACAACCUAUCAUUACUGAUCAUUCCAAUCUGGAUUGGGACUGUGAAGAGAUUAUGAGGACAUUAAUGCGAUUUAACUUUUCAAUGAUGGUGGUUAAGCAGAUGGACCCCCAAGCACAGAUAUGACUAAAUCAUGACAAGAAGUUAGCAUCCAUUUCAGCAUUUUACCUUUUUUCCAGACUAGAACCUGUUUGAAUAAAUAACUUCUUACUAACUACCACAGAAUUCUGUUAUCGUUGGGAAAAAAAAAAAACUACCACACAAACUUAAAACUCGAAACAAGUCCAUUGAAGACCAGCAUUUGGGAAGCAAAUAAUAAUUUGAAGCCAGGCAAAAUGACUCAAGAUAAGGAACUUGACUAAAACAGUACCAUAAAGCGCCCUGCACAAAACUACAAAAUGUAAGAGAAUUCUUAGGCAUUUCAACAUAUAAACUGCAUUGAAAAUCUUAUCAUGCGUGCACACAAAAACAAAGCAAGUCAAAGGAGCUAGAGACAGUUCCAGGUAAACACUUGAGGAAUACUGCAACUUGUUUGUCACCAUAAACUUCCUUUAUGGGGUGAACUUAAUAUUCUUUCAAACCAAGGAUAAUUGCACAUCCAUGGAGGCAAAUAUGGUACCACUGGAUGCACAGUGCAUUCAACAGAGUAUUAUACAAAACUAAAUUGCAGCAUCAAGCUCAUGAAGAUUUUUUAUUAACAUAUCAGUUUUUUUUUUUUUGGGAGAUGUAUACUGAUACAAAUCCAAAUUGAUAAGAGCAUCAUCACAUUCUUUCUUUUUCAUGUCAACUUGAAGGAGCGAGUAGUUUACCUGCAAAAUUGAAUCAUCAGCAAAUGAAGGCUUAGUUUAAUUUGGAUAUUUGAUGAGUCACAUUGAGGGGAGGCAAUUAUAUAUGGUUGGAGCUCAGAGUUGAUACACACUGAUACAACAGAAAGUGGGAAGGCAAAGCAAAAGGCAGGAUUUCUUGCCUUCUGAUCCUUGAGUUUGCUCCGAAGUUGUUAGUGUAUGUUGAGUAGCCUACGUGUAAAAGCAAAGGCAAAGCCGCCAAGGCAAAUGGGGGUUGUUAUCUAUCUAUUCAUUCUAUUGAUAGUUCCCCCUUUUCCUUUAUUGCACACAAGGAGUAGUUAUUGAUUGGAGGAAAAGUCAUACUCCGUCCAGAAGCGCGGUUUUUUCUUGUCCCAUCUUGCAUUGCGGAGAUGACUUGUUCAAGAUUAUAGAUAUGGUUAGAGGUCCCGACUUUGCUUUCACGUAACACUCUAGUCAUGAUUGCUGUACGAUAAGAACUCAGCAAUCAGCAGCAGCAGCAGCAGUUGACCCAGACUUGUAGUGUAGCGCUAUUAUACAUACAUAUAUACAUAUAUAUGGAGUAGUAUUUCAGAAAUAAACUCUUCCUUCUUCCUCCCUUAGUUAAUUGCGUGAAAGUUUCUUUCUUGACCCCACCAGUCCAUCUGCUUCAGGCACUAUCUAUCUCAUUUGGAUUUAAACAUUUUGGCAUUUCGUAUAUUGAUGCAGACCACUCUAGUUACUUACAAUAUUGUAACACUACAUUAAGUUAUCUAUUAAUAUGAUUACAUCCUAGACAUUAUUCUUAUCCAUUAUCAGAAAGGCCGAGACCAAGUGUGUUGUUAUCCAUUAAAUUAAGAGUGUUUGCUGCUCUUAACACUCUCAAUCAAAACUAGAUUUUUGUUAGUAUUUGCCUGAAUCACAAUUUACUACUGAAAUAUAUAGUAUGAAUAAGACGCCCCUGAACUUGACUAAUAUUAUUAUUUACAUACAGCUCUUGAGAAGGAUCUCAAAAGCUGGAGGACAGUGGGGUUCCGCCGCCAUAGAUGGGCCUUUCUUCAGUCUUCUUCGCAAGGCCAGAAAGCCUCAAUUGCUCAAAUGCUUUGAAGCCAAAAAAAAAAAAAAAGAAAAACGCAAUCUUUUUGUAGCUACCAGAAUUGUCCAUGAAACGUAUUGUGCAAAUCAAGAUUCUAUUUCAACCUAAAGAGAUUUGCAGGGAAUUGAAAUGGUCGACGUGAUCCUGUGAACAGAAUGGAGGCACUGUUUGUAAUUGCAGCCCAAAAUCCUAUCUUGGUUAAACCUUUCACUGUUGGCCGUGUCUUUUGCAGAAUGCAGAGGAGAGUUAUAGACUAAAGGGGAAUUGAAGGCGUGGUCGAAAUUUCAAUAAACAUACGUACUUACACUAGUGUACUAGCAAAACUAUCAAAAAAGCUCUCCUAAUUUAUCCAUCCUCACUCCUAAUAAUGCUGCUGUGUACACUCCCUCCAAACUAGGGUUGCAAACGAGCCGAAUCGAAUCGAGUUUUGAACUUAUCGAGCCAAACUAGACUUGAUAACAGGUAGGCUCGAGUUAGAACUUGAACUCGACGAAACAAGAAAAUUGAUCUCGAGCUUGACUCGACCAAGGAAAAGCUAGGCUCGAACUCAAGUCGAUAAGGCUCACGAGCUGUAGCUCGUUUUUUGGCUUGCAAGCAACUCGAAUUGUCAGCUCGUAAAGUAACUCGAACUUCUAACUCGUAAGUAAUUCGUUAGCUCGCGUUUUUGGAAAUUAAUCUAAUAAAAAUAAUAAAUAAUUAUUUUUUCUUAAUAAAUAAUAAAAUAUUAAAAUUAUAUAUAAUUUUACUAUUAAAAUUAUAUAUAUAUAUAUAUAUAUACUCGAGUUCACGCGCCCACUCGCGAGCUAACGGGUUUAAUAUUUUGAACUCGAGUUUGAUUUGACCAACUCAAACUCGACUCGAAUUCAAUAUUGAUCGAAUUCGACUCGAGCUUUGACUCGAACCUCUUUCGAGACGCUCGUUUGCAGCCCUACUCCAACCAGAACUACUACUGCUAAAUAAAUAUUUAACACUAGCAGCAACAAUAGUACAGAAGCACAAAGGUGACAGAAUUAGAACCCCAACCUUUUACAUUUACCUAAUCAAAGGUUCAAUGGCAAGGACAGAUUAGUCCAUGAGUUAGAACAAUAGCAGCAGCAUUAGCAGUUCUGCAAUUGGGUUGGAUGAGCGUAACCAACAGCAAAGAAAAGCAAAGCCCACAAAAGAAAGAAAGAAAGAAAAGGAAAGGGAUUCCGGAGGAAGCCAGCCAGCACUGCCGCCGUUGCCAACCCACCCAUGACCCCGCCCGACUGGGAGUGGGAGGACGUUGAAUUGAAUCGAAUCGAAUAGAAUAAUAAAGAGUAUUAUUAGCGAGGCGGAAAACAAAGUAGUGGUUACUCUUUCUACAUUCAUUAAAUGGAACAACAAGAACCGCAGACCCAAACCAAAAUCAGCUUCCAUCAAACUCAUACUGAAACCAUCAUCCCCACCCGCCAGGAUCAGGAGGAAGCCAACCACCAUUUCCAAACUGCUGCCCUACCAAUACCAUCACCUCCUCCUCCCCCUCCUCCUCCUAUUGACGAGGUAAUCUUAUCAUUUAUAUCACUAUUACUAUUAGUUCUUCGGUUUCUAGUUACAAUUACAUGCUUCUAUAUAUCUGUUUGAGGUAAUCAGCCUGCCUCCCUGCACCCUAUCUCUAUCAAGAGAAUUAAUUCUUGGGGAGAUUAUCUGCCCUACAGAGUUAGCACGUCUUCCUAUUGCAAAAUAUAAAGAUAGCUUUUUUUUUUUUUUUUUGAAUGUUAACUUCAUAUUUCUUUGGCUAUGGUUCCUUCUUCCUUUUGUUGGUUAGUCUGUGUUGAUGGAGGAUUCAGGAGUGUUCAACUGCAAUGUGCAUCUCAGUGUUCCACUAUUAUCCACCCUAGGUUUAUGACAGCCAUAGCAAUAUUAUGGUUCUGAAAGUUUUUUGCUUUAUCUAUCUACAAGUUAACAUUUUUCCAUGAUUCUAUCAGGAAAAUCCAUCUAAACUGUAUACUCAACCAAAGUGAGCUUUAUUCUAGUACUUUUAUUGAACUCCCUAAGUUUUCAUGUUUCAAGCAAUCUAUAUGUCUAAGGCGAGCCAAUAAUUCCCGUAUCAUAUAAGGAUGCAUAAGCAUAUUGGAUUACUGAGUCUUACUUAACAGAAUGAUGGCUAAUGUUGUUCAACUUACAUUUUGCUUUUCACCCAAAAUUAAAAGGGAAAAAAAAAAGACAUUCAAGAAUGUGAUGCACCUCCUAGUAAGCCAAUUCAACAUAUUACUUGACUUUUCUGUUUCAAUUCCUUUUAUAUAGGAGAUACUGCAGCCUUAUAAUAUACUAGUAGGAAGUUCUGCAGGUCAUGAUAUCUGGUGACUCGAAAAGCUGAGUAGUUGGAAGCAUAAAGAUGCUUCGAGGAUGUUAUAAUUCCUGUACUAUGUCUAUGUUUUGCUGUGAGAUAGAGUUUGACAUUCUGAUAUUCUAGAGCUAAUCUAUUCCUCAAAAAAAAAAUAAUAAAUGUUUCACUGCUUCUAUUUUUCUUUUAUUUAUUUUUCUUUUCAUAUCCUAGACCAACCAUUCCCAACCAAGUUUUCUCUGUCUACAGCACAGCCAUUCCCUCUAUCUGAGUUUCUUGUCCUUUCUACUUUGUUGAUUGACUGCCAGGUGCCAAUUGAUUUUUUGUGCCUUUGUGAUAAAAUCUUUGAUUCAUGUGUAAUGCCUUAUGGAAGAUUAGAUUCUAAGUUACAAAAAAAAAAAGGGAAAGAGUGCUAUUCAGAUUCAGAAUCUCUUAAAAAAUAAUAAUGAAGAAAAUAACUUGACAAGCAUGCAUACCUUUAUUUUCUUCUUCUUCUUGUUUUGGCCGGCCCCGGAGGGGGGGGGGGGGGAAGGAAUCUGCAGCCUAUGUUAUUCAUCAAAACCAAAAUUUGUCUUGCCUGUCAAAUUCUUUUUGAACUCUUUUUUUUUUUUUUGUCGUGUCCUGUUUUAUGUGUGACCUUUCCUUGGUGAAAGAUUGCUAUUUUUGCCUUUAAUUGGACCAUGGGUUGAGCAUUUUGCCUAAUUAUCCAUCAUAUUUUCAUCUCAGCAAUUUCCCCACCUGUCCAAUUCCGGGGAGCUGACUAUCAUAGUUUGCUGUUUGCUCUCUUAGCUUGAUAAAUGCUCGAAUAUCAACCAUUUGGAUUUGUUUCUGUCAAAAAUAUAUCAUUAAACAGAGUCGUGCUUCAUUACAGGAGAAAAAUGGUAAUCAAUUCGACCAUCGGUUUCAAAGAACUGAUCAAUGGCGCCCAGUUUAUUCCUGGUUAGAGUCGUUGGCUACAGAUGAGCCAGUUAAAUCUAAGGAUAUUUUAGACUGGCUGACAGAAAAUCCAGAAGUCAGAGAACAGUUAUAUACAAGGCAUUCCCGUUACCACUUGAUGCAUUACAUCAAAAAAUGCCACAUGAAAAUAUUGAAGAGAAAGGAGAAGAAGAUGGUAUUUUUCCCGGCUUACAAAUAUUCAAUGAAAUUCCUUUCCAUAUUAUCAUAUUUGAAUGAAAAUAGCAAUCAUAAACUUAAAGGUUAAUUUAGACAAAAAAAAAAUCCCUAUUGUAUUUAAUUAGAGUUCUGAUGUUCCAUGGCUUGGUAGAGUUGGAGAAUUUUCAUGUGUCAUAGCUCGAUAGUUUGAAAUUUUGUUUUUUUUCAAUAUUUGAUAAUACUGUAUAAAACAUGCAAAACAUGCUUCAUGUAGCCCAUUGGUUGACAUAAAAUAUCCUGUGAUUUAUGUUGAAGUAAUUGUAUCAGUUCUGAUUCUUGUUGAAGUGAUAUUCAUACAUUUUUUAAGCAGGGGAAUACAAUGAAAUUUGUAUUUAGCCUUGUGUUGCCAGUUGUGUUUUCUGAAUAUUUCACAUUUUCUUGGUUUCAAUCAUGAAUUUCUCUAUCUCUAUCUCAAACCCCCCCCCCCCUCCCCAAAAAACAAAACAAAAAAAAAAAUGUAGUUCCUCUUUCAUUUUUUUGUUUCUUUUGGGAACAUAAAAGGGGAGGUGGUGGGAGGAUUAUGGAUUUGGGUAGGGAUAAAAGACAAGAUUCUGUGUGCUGCUCAGAGGAUAGGAUUUACUAGUGAAGUAUUAAGAUCUAAAUGACUUGUUCUAGUGGGAAAAGUUGAUUAUGAUGUUCUUAGGAAUCAUAAGAAUCUAACAUCCUAAAGGUUUACCCUAGCCCAAUUGUUCUGUGUCAGCAGGCCGAUGAUUGCUCUUAUAUGUUGGGAUUUAGCACUUCAUCUAAACAUUUAAGCUCGUAGAGAAGACUGUAUUUUAUUUAUUUGUUUUCUUAACAGAUCUUAUAUCAAAUUACUUCCCAAUAAAAAAACAAGAGAGCGAAAAUUCUUGUGUUAAUUAUGUUGUUUCCACUUGCAUGAGUUAGAAGUUGUUAUUAAAUAGCGGUCAUGGUAAUAUUAGAAGGAGAAAUGGUGAUAGGAUUAGUGGUGACAACAUAGUUGAUAAUAAGCUUCUUGAAGGUAAUAAUAAGCAUUCUGAUAAUCUAUUUUAGCUCUUGGAUCAUAAUUAGGACAAACAGUUGUAAGAUGCCAGUCAGGAUUAGUGUUGAUAGGAUUAGUGGUGACAACAUAGUUGAUAAUAAGCUUCUUGAAGGUAAUAAUAAGCAUUCUGAUAAUCUAUUUUAGCUCUUGGAUAAUAAUUAGUACAAACAGUUGUAAGAUGCCAGUUAGGAUUUAGUGUUCACUGUGACCUUUGUAGUGAAAUAGAAAUCCAGGAGCAUGAUGUUCAAGCACAUGAUGCAUUUGUUCUUUUCUAUGGAAUGGCAAUGUCGGAGAUGGGUGUUUAAUGUUUUAUAAAUUAACUAUUAGGUUGCUGAAAGAUUGGAACUGGGGCUACUAAUGAGUGGAAUAUGCUGGUUGGAGGUGUAAUUUGCUGCCAUAUGAUCUGUUUUGCCAACUAAUAGAAUCUUGACUACUAAACAGAAGAAAUGGUUUCAUUUAGAUGCGUUAAUGGUCUUCAUUAAGCUUAUGAUAGGAUUUAAAGUAAUUUGGUAAUUGUAAGGCAAAUUGUUGAGAAAUUUUAAGGAAGAAAGGCUUACAGAGCCCCAUCAAGAUUCAAUGCAUAAUGACCAUGCAAGCUUGAUCAAACCAUUUGCUGUGAGGUUGAUGUGUAAUAUCAAUUUUAUUCUUUUCAGCCUUUUUAGAUUAUUUCAUCUAUACCUGACCAGAAGAAGUCACAGUUGACUUCUUGCCUGGGCAAUUCUUGUUUUCUGUGUGGCAGUUUCUAUUUUUCUGCUUCUUGUAGAUUCAAUCUACACUUUUUGGUCUUAAAAUAAUACAUAUUAAGGAAUUGCUAUGUUGUUUUUUCUUGGUUAAUCCUUUUUUGGGCCAUUUAGAAUUAUGCAUGUAUUAGGAAACGUUAAAGAUGAAGAAUUUAGGCGCGGAGGCUUGACUAAGUCCAUGAUCGCCAUGCUUGCUUUCAGUCAAAUCAUAACUUACAAUAUGAGCAUGUGAUGUGAAGUGGAUUUUUCAUUAUGGACUGGACUUUAGUGUCUCUCAUGAUUUUUUCAUCUAGAUGCUUGAUGUCAUAGGACGCGUUAUAUGUCUCAGGAAAAGUGUCUGGCUAUGUUGGUGGAUGCUGUUUUAGUUUUUUUCUGGCAAGUCUGAUAUAUUUAUAUGAAGUGGGUGACUCUAUACCAAGAGCAAGCUACAACAGAUACUGCAAACCUGAUACCAUUGAAACUUAUGUAUGUACAUAAAAAUGGUAUUGGAGGUAUCCAUAGAAUUCAAAAACUUUCAUUUAUGCACUUAAAGAUAAAAAUGAUGCAUUUUAGUCUAUUGGAGCUGUACAAGAGCCUGAUUUUGUUAUAACCAUGCAUAACUUUUGACAUUUGCCUGUGCAGAGGUGCACAAUUAGAAUUUAAAUGGUUAUACUCCUACAUAAUUGGAUAGAGAGCAGUAUGAUUGCCUAUGAACAAUCAUGUGUGUCAAAAAUAUGUCAAUCCUGGCUAAAUGUAUUUUGCUUAAGGAGUCUUCCUUUUGUUUCAUGUCAGUAAUGUGAUUUUGCUAGACAAUAAACUUUGCCUCUUCCAAGACCAAAUGUGGACUUAAUUAUCUUAAAGAACUCAACUGCUUCUUUAUUAACUCCUAGAAUUAAAAUGAGAUGGAAGUAGCUCAAAAGCUUUAAGAUCAAUUUUAGCAAUUUUUCCUCUUUAUGUUUGAUACCUUUGAAGUGGAUAUUUCCAUGAGCACUCAUCUUGGAGCUUGAAGCACACAAAACCUCCUUAUGGUCCAAUUUAGUGUAAAAUUUGUGUUGGCCACUAUCUUUCAUUGAAAUUUCAUGCUCUUAUGACACUGGUUAGGGUGUUUAAGAAAAAAUGUUAUGUCGUGCUUUGACUAGCAGUGUGUUUCAAUUUUUUUUGCUGUAUAACUGGGUGUGCACCCUUCCUUGGCAAAAAGGAUUUGUUAACAUUCUAUACCGAGGAGGACUUUGCUGUCACUGUAGAUGUUACAAGAGGACAAAGAUUUCAUUGUUUUUUAGAUGAUAUUCAUGAAUGAGAUUGAACUUUGAUAAGGGUAUAACUUGAUAGCAAAUAAAAAAUCAUACUUGAGGACAAAGAUUAUGGUUCAUCGUUUUCUAGAUGAUAUUCAUGAACAAAAUUGAACUUUGAUGAGGGUAUAAAUUGAUAGCAAAUAAAAAAUCAUAGUUUGUACUCAAUAAGUGCUUUAGUCCUAAUAAUUUAUCUUCUAUUAAUUUGUUGAUUUACUAGUGUUCUUGUAGCAAGGUAAUAUACUUAUUCUGCUUUAGGCCCAGAACGUACUGUAUGCUUUUGUUCUGUGCUUGUGCAAUUUUUGUCUCCUAGAAAGAUGUGACUUCUGGACCUGGGUUUAUUUUAACUAGUACGUCCAUUUUCACUUGAGAAGGGAGUGCAAGUUACACAUAAAGUUCAUUCUGACGAUGUGCAAACCAGUGUGGAGACUAAAGCCAUUGUUCCAGUUCAGAAUACAGGUAAUGGUACAUGAUUCGUGGUAGGUAUUGCAUCCAACAGCACUGUGGUGAUCUAGUUUACUUUUUACAUCACAAAUAUUGGUGGGUGAGAUGUGUUAGCUUUUGUACUUUCUUGAUAAAUCCCGAGGUUUACAACUAAAUGUUACUCACUGCCUCAUAUCAUGAUUACUGUUCUUUGCAAAAGCUAAUCUGAGAAUAAUAAAUACCAUGAAAUUACCAAAAUAAGGUCGCUCUGUGAUUCAGAAAACUUUUUCAACCAACAUAUGAUGUGAAGCCUGAAAUUGAAGGUUAACAAAAUGGCUAUCUGGAUUUGACAAAUGGGCAAAGAUUUAGUGCUAUUUGCUGGUAAGUAAAUCCGGUUACUGGAUGGGCAUAUGAUUCAUGUUUUUGGUAAGUCUCAGUGAGCACAGUCGAAUAAGAGAUUGUGUCUGCUAGCUAUAAUUAUUUGCCUAUGAGUUGCCUUAUUGAAGAAAUUGUGUACCCUGUAUGCAGGACACCUCUAUAGGUAAAAACACUGAUAAGUAGCUCAUUCUACCAUAUUCUUGUACUGGUCUCAAUAUCCUAGAUGUCAAAAUAAUGGGUUGUAGGCCUUAGGUAUAAUCACUAGUAGAAUGUAUUCAGCUUGUAAUGUGAAUCUUUCAGAUAUCAGUCAGAUCAAACUGGUUUCAGUCGAAUCAAGGGAGCAUCCUAGUAGUCAAUAGAGUGAAAUAUUUUGUUGGGCUUGAGAAAUAAAAUACGUAGAAGAUGAAUGUUCCAUGAAAUACAAGGCUAUAAGAAAAAAAAACAAGACUUUAAGUUCUCAUAGGUGCUGCAAUAACCUAAAAAAUGUUCGUCAUCCUGAAUGUUGGUUGUGGUGGUAUAAGUACAGAUUUUCAACAAAGUUUGGUGUUUUAUAACACAAAAAGAAAGAUGGAAAUAUUGACUGAUUUCUUCCCCCUCUUGUGUACUCUUCAUUUUCGAGCUUGAGGUGUUUGUACCAUGUGUCUUGCUUUAAAGUUGUGAAUGCAAAAGAAUCAGGGGUUAGGUCUUUCUUGUACAGUUUUAUACCAUUUCCAGGGUUGAGUUCCAUUUGAUUAAAGCUAAUGAUGAUUGCCUUUCGGAUAACGUGUGUGUUUUGCUCAUUUUGCAGCGAAUAAUUUGAGCAGCCUACCUCUGGAUAGUGACCUGUAUAAAGCAAAACAGAAGGAAGCACUUCAAAAAUAUGAGAUGUAAGUUAGGGGAAGUCCUGUCCAAUAUGUUGAUGGAAUAUGCCGUAUUCCGACUCAUAUGCUCAUGUGUUUUUUUUUUUUUGUUGUCAUUUUCAGUUUGAUUGACUUGGAGAAACAGCUUUUGAAUCUGAUUUCGAAGUGUGAUAAUCGACCAUCUUGAAGGACUCUGAUCUGACAAAUUUGCAUUUGGUUGAUCGUAUAUCAUAGCAUAUGCUAAAUUUUGGUGGUGCAGUUUGGUGACAGCAAUUCUUUUGUUGCUAAACAUAGCUUCACCUUGAUAGAUACUCAACAAGUUCUCUAGUACUGUAAAGAGUCUCUUGUAUCUCUGCAAACUCCUCGCAUCUCUCCCUGUAUCAGUAACGGUAAUUAAAAAAAAAAGGGUCCCUUGUAUGCAUCUUUGCAACCUCGUUAUUGCAUUAAAGUAGUGGUUAGUUCUCUUAUAGAUAUUGCAAUAGAGUAGUGGUUAGUUCUCUUUAUGGACACUGCUAUAGGUUAUUUUACCGAGGAGAAAGUACCUGCAAAAGCUUCGGCAGUCUGGAGUUUGUGAUAUGCACCUAAUGUAAUGUAUGAUAAAAUUUCAUGAAAGCUGGCAUCUAAUUCUACGACAUGAAAUCUUGGAAGUAAGUUGACCAAAGUGGAUUUGCCUUUUUAACAGAACUACUAGGAGUAGUAUUGAAUGAAACUAACUAGAGAUGAUGGUAUGGUGCUCUACAAGACAAGACAAAAUGAGAGGAAUUCUGAAACUGACAAAGUGAUAGUCACUUAGGCAGCAGCACAACAAUUCGAGAAGCUCAGUCUCUGAAAGUGGUGAACACGGACCAUAUAUAUAUAUGUGUGUGUGUAUGUAUAAUAUACACAUCAUGUGUUUAUUUUUUUUAUUUUUUUGGUAUUUUGAUAUUCAAGGGCUUGGAGCAAAUUAUAUGCGAAUCAGAGAGAUUCACUGCGUUAGAGACCGCUGGCAAGAACCAACUUAAGAUAUGCAGCAGUAGCAACAGGAAGCAUAUUAACUGAUAUAAGAUGGCAGACAUAGAACUAAAUAUGCUUUAUAAUAUCACCAUUACCAUUAGUUUGUAAGAACAUGAUGGUUUAUCUGAUGAAUCAGAUACACAUGAUGGUUUUGCAUUAUCAGGAUGAUGAUGAUCUAAGAACAGAAUCGGAUCCUGCAAUUAGGAUAUUAUUGUCCGACUUCAUCGACAAGUCAAAUGAUGUGAGUGAAUGAGGAGAGAGCACCACAUCCAUGACCUCCCCAACAGUAUCCA